RNAcentral lists this long non-coding RNA (53824 nucleotides) under Ananas comosus (pineapple). RNAcentral's name for it is "long non-coding RNA (ACOM_LNC010780)". The record is from RNAcentral. Lineage: Eukaryota; Viridiplantae; Streptophyta; Magnoliopsida; Poales; Bromeliaceae.
UAUGGUCCCGCUACUAUACUAUUAUGAGUACGAUCGCCCUCGUACUCAUAAGUUGUUUUCGAUGAUAGAGCUUCCAAAUCAACGAUCCACACCGUUAAACGUUAUUUACAGUAUUUAAAAUUUUUAAAAAUCAAAUUUUAUAAUUUUUCGACAUCAUUUACCUUACGAUCAAGAGGUCACAAAUUUGACAAUUUUUAACGGCCGAUAUGGAAUACUUGCUAGUUUAACGGUGUAAAAGAAUCGAAAUUUGUUGAAUUUUUGAUAGAAAAUUUUAUUCACUACAUAGAUAAAGAUCAAUAACUCCGAUCUUGAAUUAAAGGAUCCGAUCAUCCUUUUUUAGGAUGUCGUUCGAUUUUGACCGUUCAUUUUAUGCCCACUUGAUGGACUUUAUUAUGAUUUCGAAAAUUUACGAAAUUUAUUUUCUAGAAGUUUUAAAUACUCUAGAUCAUAUUUAACGGAGUGGAUCGUCGAUUCGGAAGCUCCAUCAUUGAAAACAACUUAUGAGUACGAGAACUCCAAUACUCAUAAUAGUAUAGUAGCCAUGGCAUAUAUAUAUAUAGAAUUAGGCUGGAAUGCUAUUGAUAGCAAAAGAUGCUUUUUGCUAUCAAGUUUUUAACCCUUAGAUGAGAAAUUGUAGAGUCAGGAUGAUAUUAGUUAGUUAGGAUUGAGUGGUCCCCUAGGGUUGAGAGGUUCCCACUGGGUUAUAAUAUUUAAUUCAAUGGUUAGAAAUAAUGAAAGGAGUUGAUCCAAAGGCUAAAAACUUGGUAGCAAAAAAAAAGCCUUUUGCUAUCAAUAGUAUUUUGGCCCAACUAUAUAUAUAUAUAUAGAGUCCGGCUACUAUGCUAUCGGUAGCACGGAGCGCUCCGUGCUACCAAGUUGUUUUCGAUGAUGCGGCUUCCAAAUCGACGAUCGGCUCCGUUAGACUUGAUCUACACUAUUAAAAGUAUUUGGAAACUAAAUUUCAGAUUUUUUCGACAUCAUUUGACACGUGAUCAAAAGAUCUCAAAAUUAAUAAUUUUAAAGGCCGAUGUGGUGUGUUUGUGAGUUUAACGGUGUAAAACAAUCCAAAUGCGAUGAAAAUUUUAUAGAAAAUUUUUUUCACUAUUUAGAGUAAGAUCAGUAUAUCUGAUCUUGAAUUUAAAUCUUUUAUCAUCAUUUUUCAUGAGAUUUUUAUUUUCAGCCGUUCAAUUUUAGACUACUUGUUUGAUAGGUAAAUGAUAUCGAAAAAUUAUGAAAUUUAGUUUCUAAAUACUUUCAAUAGUGUAGAUCAUAGUGGGCUGGGUCGUUACAUUUGGUAUCAGAGCCGGUUCACCAGCUGGACAUGUGUGGCGAGUCUCGGCUGAGCCAGGGUCUGGAUGACGGGCUAGCGAGACGAGUCUCACAUCGCCUGGUGGUGAUCUUGGGCUGAGUGUGUGAUUGGACUGACGAGGACGUCAGGGCCUUAACGGGGGGAGUCUGUGACACCCCAAUAGUCCCACAUCGGAUGGGAAUGGGGUUGUCAUUGGGUUUAUAAGAGACUUAAACACUAGUAAUAAUAACUGGGCUUAAGCAUUUUGGGCCGGUGGUUUGGGCCCAACGAGUUAUUGUUGCUAGUGGGUUGGGUCGUUACAUUUGGUAUCAGAGCCGGUUCACCAGCUGGACAUGUGUGGCGAGUCUCGGCUGAGCCAGGGUCUGGAUGACGGGCUAGCGAGACGAGUCUCACAUAGCCUGGUGAUCUUGGGCUGUGUGUGUUUGGACUGACGAGGACGUCAGGGCCUUAACGGGGGGAGUCUGUGACACCCCAUUAGUCCCACAUCGGAUGGGAAUGGGGUUGUCAUUGGGUUUAUAAGAGACUUAGACACUAGUAAUAAUAACUGGGCUUAAGCAUUUUGGGCCGGUUGUUGGGCCCAACGAGUUAUUGUUGCUAGUGGGCUGGGUCGUUACAAGUCUAACGGAGCCGAUCGUCGAUUUGAAAGCCGUAUCAUCGAAAACAACUUGGUAGCACGGAGCGCUCCGUGUUACCGAUAGUAUAGUAGCCUAGUUCUAUAUAUAUAUAUAUAUAUAUAUAUAGAACUAGGCUACUAUACUAUCAAUAGUACCAACCCCUUGGUACUAUUGAGUUUUCGGCCGUUGGACGAAAGGAUGUGCGGUUAGGAUAAUAGUGAUCCCUGGUUAAAUUGAUAGUGGUCCCUAGGGUUGAGUGGGUGGUUGGUUUAAUAGUAUAAUCUAACGGGUGGAAAUGAUCAAGGGGUAGAUCUAACGGUAGAAAACUCAAUAAUACCAAAGGUUUUGUACUAUCGAUAGUAUAGUAGCCGGACUCUCUAUAUAUAUAUAUAUAUAUAUAUAUAUAUAAUUGUUUGGUAGGGGUUUCAUUCGUUACUUCUAGAUCAUAAAAAUCUAGUCAAGUUCUUCCCAAGAUCAAACUGAAAACAAACAAUUAAUUCUAUAUAAGUCCUGAAUAUAUAUAUAUAUAUAUAUAUAUGUACAAUUGUUUGGUAGGGGUUUCAUUCGUUACUUCUAGAUCAUAAAAAUCUAGUCAAGUUCUUCCCAAGAUCAAACUGAAAACAAAAAAUUAAUUCUAUAUAAGUCCUGAAUAUNNNNNNNNNNNNNNNNNNNNNNNNNNNNNNNNNNNNNNNNNNNNNNNNNNNNNNNNNNNNNNNNNNNNNNNNNNNNNNNNNNNNNNNNNNNNNNNNNNNNNNNNNNNNNNNNNNNNNNNNNNNNNNNNNNNNNNNNNNNNNNNNNNNNNNNNNNNNNNNNNNNNNNNNNNNNNNNNNNCCGUAAUGGAAUAACGUCUCACGAUCACUUCAUGACAGGCAAAAACUCUGGAGCUCCAACAGGUGAUUAAACCCCCAGAAGCCCCAUUGGCUUCGACAAAAACACGUUUGUCAAUAAAAGACCCUGCUAAACUAUGAAGGAAGGACCCUGAUACCUGACGUACUUUUGAUUCCUGGAGACAGACAACUACAUUACGAACUUUCGAAAUAACAUCCCUAACCGUAAAACGUUUAGAAGAGUCAUUAAGCCCUCUAACAUUCCAACUAACAACCCUAAACAUCAUAAAGAAGAGACACCACACUCCAAAAAGUCGUCACAAUGUGUUAACUCCCUCCACCAUAUAGCUCGCUUACGCACGGUUCUUCGUGGCUAUGGCGAAAUGGUUUGCCUCCACGUCAUCCAGGAUCACCCUGCAGCGACGACUCUUCCGAAUGAUCUUCCUCACCGUAGCCUCGGUCACGAAGUCAGAGCCACCCUCCCUCAGCAACGCUUUCCUGGAAGCUGCUUUGGAAAGGACAGUAGACUUCUCCCCACACGCAAGCCGUGCACUGGUUCGUGUUGGUGGGGUUCCAUGCUUCUUCCUCGGAAAUCCCGUAUAUCCAGUCGGCUUCGCUUGAGGUCCGACCCAAACCCCAUGCACACAGUCAACUCUAGCUAUGUCCCUCACCUCCUCUCCUUCAAAAGGCCUAGCCGGUUGAGCGUCAUUAUUUACGUCAAGACAGGGGAUCGCGCCUCCCACGUGUAGCAUCAGUGCACCAUUUUCCUCCCUAGUAUUCGACCUGAAACCUCCAUCCAUCGCUACCAUCAACGGCGAACAAUCGUCCACCGCUUUCCUAGAAGGGCCCACCGUACCAGGUAAAACUCUCUCUUCCUGCUUCCAGGCCCACAGCAGUGGCCCAAGAGAAAUCGCGUACAGGCCCCCACAAACCAUAACCUUGAGAAGCCCAUUUGUGUGUUUGGUUACCUUUCUAUAAGUUCGCCAAUUUAUCAUUUUAUAUUUUGUCAUCGUUUUAAACAGAUGGCAUCUCAAUUAUCUAUUUAAUUUACAACUCAAAAAAUAGAUAAAAAAAAUUUAGAUAAAAAAUAAUCUUCUAGUUCGUUAAUACUAUCAAAAUUGAACUAGGCUAUUAUACUAUUAAAAGCACCUAGUCAACGGUACUCUAGCACAUCUAGCUAGAGCGAAAUUCAUACCCGAUCAAACUCUAAUACAUAUAUUUAUAACUCAUGCAAAUCAAAUCCAAUGAAGCCUAGUGCAAUACUUUAGGGCUUAGUAAGAUCCUCACUCUAGCAUAUAUAAACAUAGUGGAAAAUAUAUUAUACUCGGUUAAUCCUGAUACAUACACUCAUGAAUUAACCACUCUCUAACUUUGGGUAAUAUCAAAUUCGACCUAUCUCAAUACAUAAACUUGGAGUUUGGUCAUAUCUCCACCUUUAAAUAUACAACUAAGGUGAAUAUGAUCGAACUCUAAAAUAUAUACGUAGAGACGAUUAGACUCUAAUGCAUAUUUGAGAAUUUGAAAUUGAAUUUUGAAUGAAAAAGGAUAUGUAAUGAGAUUAUUAGGAUAAAAGAUAUUUUCUAAUUGAAUAUUAAAUUUUAGGAUAUGGAUAUGGGCGGUCAUUGAUUGGACCCACUUAGAUGAAACUUGUUGGGCACAAAUAAUAAUAUUCGUUGGGCCGAAAUAAAGCCCAAAUUAUUGUAUAGACUUAAAAAUUCAACGGGCUUUCAUAAGGCCUACCAACUCGUAUUUAUAAAUGGGCCAAUUGAAUAUGUUUAAAUUAUUAUUAUUGGCUCCAAAAUUUUUUGAUCAACAUGAGACCUAUUAGAAUUGUAUGAGUUCGAAUUUAAUUAAUUUUGAUUAUGAUUAGAAUUACUUUAUCAUAUAUUUUAUAUAUAUAUAUAUAUAUAUAUAUAUAUAUAUAUAUAUAUAUAUAUAUAUAUAUAUAUAUAUAUAUGUAUUUUGCAUUUAAAAAAUAUAAAAGAAAAAAAAUUGCGGAUAAUCCGCAUACUCACCUGCCCACCCGCGGGUGGGUAUGGGUAAUGAUGUUGACUACCCAAAAAUUUAUGGAUAAAUUUUACCCAUGUCCAAAUAACCCGUGGGGAUAAUAAUCCGCCCGUGGAUUAUCCAACCCGCCCGUUUGCCAUCAGAAGCUAUGAAUUUAACACGAAUGCAUGCAUGUGCCUAGCUAGCUACAAAUGCCGUAGAAGGUACUCUAAAUGGUACAUAUUGUACUACAUAUACAUAAAUACACAUAGGGGGGUAUUGGUGCUAGAUAUAUUUGGUACCAUGCAUAUAUAACUUCUCUUUAAUUAAUCCUAGUCAUUGCCACUAAUAUAGGGUCGUACCUUCCUGGUACAAGGUGGGAAGAAUCAAAGCUUUUAUCUUAUAAUAAUACUAUUCCAUACUAUUGGAUUUCAUAAUCAUCUAGCAAAUAAAGCUUAUCUAAGCAUCACAUUUAUAUAAAAAGUUUUGAGUUUAGGUCCCACACAAAAGAAUUUUCUGUGAUUUGUUGAUAUGUCACCCAAUCCACAUGAUGUUUUACAUGUAUAUAUAAACUAAUCAAAAUAUAUUUAAUAUUUCAGCUAAUUAGCAUGCGUAAUAGAUAUAGAAGGUACGUAAAAUUAAAAAUAAAACAGAGUUCGAGUACGUGACGUUACUGAAUGGCUAAAACUAAAAAUUAGUUGUCCUACCAUAUUAUUUAAUAAAAUCAAUAAAAAAAUAAGUCCAAGGACAUAUCUAAUUAAAUAUAUCUAUAAUAUAUAAAAAUAAUAAUAUUUUGAAGGACGAAUAGCAGUACUUGAACAUUAUAUUGCUUUUAAGUAAUCGUAUAUCUGCUUAAAAAGAUAAUCAUUAUUUUGCAUAAAAAAGGUAACCAUUAUCUUCAUUUAAAAAAAUUAAUAGUGACAACCCAAAUUAAGGAUGCUAAGCCUAUAGGGAUCAAAGCAACAUGUGUGCACUGUGAAAACUUAGAAAAGGAAGAAGAUAAAAAAAAUUUGAUAUAUACCAUUAAUUACUUGCAAUUUGUUUGUAUUAAAAGUAUUAUUCUGAAUUUGAUAAUCAAACAUUUUCGGACUAUAAUAAUAGUCUAGUUGUUAGAUAAUUGAGUGCGGAUCAUGAGGUUGGAGAUUUGAGCCCUCCGUACGAGGUUUAAUUUCGAGCUUAAAUUGUAGAAAUUUCUACGCUUGUUUGAAUGAUUCUCCGUGUUCUUUUUCCCGGUCUCUGCUUGCUAAUUUCAAGAUUCGAUUCAAUUUAGAGUGUACCUAACAUUCCUUUUCGAAGGACAUAAUUUUGGGUUGUUUGUUUUAAUUCACCUUCUUUUAAAAUGUCUAAUUGUAGGCUACAUGCAUACACACUAUCAAUUUCUACCAAUUAUCCAAGAUAACGGUGGUGCAAUACUGUUAGUUAUGAUAUAUAUAGUGUCCUUUUCUUUUUCACUGUCGCACGCGGAAGAGCAUAGUAAUUAUAAGUCUGGCGAGUACUUCGUAAAAAGUUUAAAUAGUAUAGAAAAAAAGAAUUAAAACGUACAAAAUUUAUCUGAAUUAUAGGUCAUUUUGAGUUGAUUAUCAAAAUUGAAAGAUUGAAUAGUUAAAUCAAUAUUUCAAAUAGUUGGUAGUUGAUUUAAAGCAUGCCAUAGUUCAGAUAAAUUUUAUAUGUUUUUACUAAAAUAAAACAACAAAUAUACGAGUACAAUGUAGAAAAGUGCAAUUCAAUCUUUCAAAAUGGUUGGUGACACUUCAAAACCUUUUUGAUAAAAAUAUUAUCACAACGAGAACCACAAAUUGUUAGAACAACAAAUUGACACUCUAUGUUGAGAUUCAAGAUAUCAGUUUUGACUACUCAAACCGAUCGUCCCUAGUGCAAGUGGCAAAGGGCUUAGUCAUUGAUACCCGAGAUCUCAAAUUCGAAUUCUAGUUGAUUCACAUUUCUAACUAAGUUUAUUUCUAAUUAAUGAAAUAAACGAAGCGGGUAGCGUGCAUGCUACCUAUCUCUCAACAAAAAAAAAUAUUUUUGACUACUCAAAACUCUACAUUUGAUUGGAAAAUUUUAUGAGUGCUUAAUCCCAAAAAGAAGAAGGUGGAGCAAUGUUAAUAUCAAUUCAUGAGAGAAACGUAUCAAAGUGGGACUUAUUUGGAGAAAAAUUCUCUAUCGCCAUGUCCCAGUCGUCAAAGAUGCUCACAAAAGUGACUAGUGAUAGCUCAUGCAAGAAUCAAAUGCUUGCCACUUCUUAUGGUUUGUAGUUUUAUUCAUUAUUCAUGUGCUCAUUAAAAAAAAAAAAAAGAUAGCGCAAAUGUUGAUUCUUCUUUUCUCUUGGAUCUUAAGUUCUCAAUUUGGAAUUUUGCUGCUUAAAAAAAACAAAACAAAGCAAACAAAAUAAGAUGAAAGAAAAUUAAAUGAAAAGGUAUCUUAAUUAUAGCACAUUUAUUUGUAUUACUAUUAUUUUAUUUUUGGUAACAAAUUAAAGAACUUAUCUGAACUAUGUAUGGACUAUUUUGGAUUAACUACUCAAUUUUUUUAUAAUUUUAAUUUUACUAUCCAAUCUUUCAAUUUAUUCGGUUUGAGUCAGUCAAAUUUGAGCUAUCAUUUACGUUAAUAAAUUUAUAGUUGCGAGAAUUGUAUGAUGUAUAGUAAUUAAAUCUGUAAAAGUAAACGAUAUAUUCAAAAUUUAAAAUCAAAAUGAUAUUAACUGAUUUAAAUCAAAUAAAUUUAAAAGUUAGAUAACCAAUUUAAAAUGGCCGAUAGUUUAGAUAAUUUGAACGUUUUUACCCUUAUUUUUAAAAGCAACUCUAUUGAUCUUAAAGCAACAUUUAUUGCUCAUCUAGUAUAACUAACAAAGUUACAAAAAUAGCCUCUUUAAGAGAGAGAGAGAGAGAGAGAGAGAGAGAGAGUAGCACCACUCACAAUUGUCAACGAUGACACAAAUAAUUACAACACAAAUUUAAGUAUGCAACUCCUCCCCCUUGUAUCUUUUUUUUUUUUUUUUUUUUUUUUUUUUUCUCUCUUCUCAAUCCUCUUUUCUUUAUGUAUAUCUUGUGCUUCAACACGAAUGCAGGGAGAACGAAUGGUGGUGAUGGAGGCCGCUGCGGGCGGACGACGAGCUUUGCGAUUCGCGCUCGAUGAGCCACCGGAGAUGGAGGAACUCGUCGACGGAGCACGGGAGCUUGAUCGGGCCCGACGAGCUGUAACCGUAGACCUCCUUGGCUGUUUCCAGCAGCUUCCGGAACAGCGGGUGGUUGAGGUACGAUAUCGGGAUGACGAACCGCCGGAACCUGCCCUCGUCGCCCUCGACGCCGACUCGCACGGCGAGAGACCCCUUCUUCACCUUCAUCCUCUUAUCCUCUUCCAUGUUAACAGUUAUUGUUGAUAUGUUAAUUUCUAUAUAGCUUUGUAUGUAUUGGAGAAUUUGGUUGUGUGGGUUUGGUGUAUAUAUAUAGAGGAGGGGGAGUGGAUAGAGAAAGGAGUGGACGCAGUGUUUGUGGAAAAUGUUGUACGUUUUUGCUACGGAUCCCGUGUCCUUUUGUUUUCGUGCUAAACUUAUUAUUAUUAUUAUUAUUAUUAUUAUUAAAUAUUUUUAUUAUUAUUAUUUUUUUUUUCGAAAUGUUUUAUUAUAUAUUUAUGGGUGGCUAAGUGAGUAGUGUGGGGUGAGUGGACUCUUGUCACGGACCACAACACUCGGCACCGGCCUCGCCGCAUGAUGUGGGCACGGAAGAAUCUGAGCGGGUGGACGACGCGUCUCGCACGAAUGUCACAGCGUGUGUGCGUGUGCGUGUGCGUGUGCGUGUGCGUGUGCGUGUGCUUCGGACCGGGCUUGGGGAUGCGAACAGAUGCGGAUAUUUUCACUGACAUGUCCGAAUCCGAACAAAACGGUUUUAAUCGAUCUUAAGAUCUUAAUAAGGGUCUGUUUGGUUCAUUGUGGAAUGCAGACCUACUCAACUUGUUAGCUUUUUUGUGUCUUUUGUCAUUGGGCGUGCAGAAUGUUAGAUCUAUUUAAGCCAAUAAUAAAUAAUCAAUAAUUCUUCCCAACGUCUAGACUGUUAAUGCAAUAUGUGCGAAUUAAACUUGCGCCACUGACUCUAAUACCACUUUUGGAUCAGAAGCGCUAAUUUACUAUUCUAAAAGUACGUGCUGAUAGCAAGAACGCACUUAUCGCACUUAAGGACUCAAACACAACGCUUAUAGGCUUUGACUUGACUUAAUCAAUUUGAACAUUUGAUCUAUCAUUGAGCAUCUUACUGUUAGGUUUAUUAUGUACUGCAGCCUUCCCCAACUUAUUGAGUUCAUUCAUUUCAACUUUUAAGUUUACUGAAUAUAUUAUCGUGGAGUAUAAAAUUGAUCCUACUUUAGUUAAUAAUAAAUAGCCAAUACAAGCAGACGGAUCCGGAGCCUUGAUGGGCUCCCACCUCCUACCCUAUUUCCUUGAUAUGUCGAACAAGUUCAGAGUGGUUAAAUUAUUUUACGUUUAGAGACCGGAUGACCGAUUCUAACCAAAAUGUCUCUUUAUCCUUCUGAGUUCAGCCACUAAUUUUGAUUCUCUUAGUUGUAGAACAAGAAGUACGGAGGAAAGGCAUUGUACAAAGACAACAUAAGCAAAAUUUUAACCGUGUGAUGCCUUUUCUGCUCGAAUUCUUAUUUUACAUCUAUUUAAUAUAUAUGCAAAAUUCGUUAAAAUAUAUUCCUGAGCCUACUAAUUUUCUACUACAUUAAUUUUCUAGACAAUACAAUAUGUUAAAUGUCUAUCUCAUCAGAUCGAUCUUUCAGGUCAUAAUACCAAGCUGCUGAAAUUUUUUCUUUUAAAUUAAUUAACAACAUGAUCCCUAUUAUCAUUCAUAGUGUGGAAAAGGGCACUCGAAUCCACCUCACAAUUAAAUCAUCAUGACUAUGAGAUCACAGUACAGGACUACAUGUAAAGCCUAAAGAAAUAAUGAUGUGAUUCUCCACUGUGACACUAAGAAGAGAAGGCCUAAGUUAAGAGAGCAUGAAAAUGUUUAAGUCCCAAAGUCUAAAGAGGAACUUGGGGCCACAUAUACUAUAAAGGGUUCUUAUAUCCCUUAUUUCCUUUUCUUUUUUUUCCCCUGUUUUUUUUUCCUACAUUGGUAUCUCUCUCUAACUUUUUCUAGCUAGUUGGACAAUAUGUACUCUCCACUCUCUCUCUCCCCUCUCUUCUAUUAUCUCUCCAAUAGCCAUAGAAUAAAUUGGCCAUUCUAGCACAUGAAUAGCCACAUGGGUAAAUUGCACCACUGGUCCCCAAACUUUUGUGCAACUUUUAAUUUGAUUCUCAAACUUUUGUUUGAUGUUAGACAUUUCAAAAUAUUGAAAGUAUUUCAAUUUGUACCCUACGUACUCUCUACAUUUAUGAAUCAUGUAUUGUGGACUUUUUAUCUCUUCUAUCAUAUCUAAAUUUUAUUAUCUAUUAAUUAAGUUACAAUAUUUUAUACAUUUAUAACGGCCUACUGAAUAUAUUAAAGGCUAUGAAAAAACAGUUGACGACAAAGCGUAAAAAAGAUAUAGUUCUCAAUUUUAGUAAAAUCAUAGAAAGUAAAUCUAAAUGUAAUAUGCCUAAUGUACGUAAUAUUUCUUGCAGAUAUAAAAUUAUUAGAAACUAAACGGUUGAAUAAAAGCAUAAAACAGACAUAAAAAACUAGGGAGGCAUACAAAUAAACCACGUGCAUGUACGUAAUAAUUUCAUAUUUACAAUUAAAGCAAAAGUGAAACCACUUUGAAUUUUUAAAUUCUAUAAAUUCGACUUAAAAUUUGAGGACGGAGUAAAACAUAAUUAAAAGGUGAGGACUAGUAGUGCAAUUUUCCGUUAUGCGCAUAUCUAUCUAACUCUAUCACCUUAUCUUUUUCUUUUUCUUUUUCUUUUUUUCUUUUUAUUGUUAUUGGGCGCAUAAACCUUUGGAGCGUUGCGUGAUACCGCGCAACACCGCACCGCACCCGAAUCCGCAUAUACUAUAGGAUGUUGACACGUGGACUCCCCCAGCAAAUACAUGAAAAAUUUUAGAAUACACCGAAUAUAUUAGUGACAUGGCGUCACAAACCAAUUAAAUAAAUUUUUUUAAAAAUAUAUGUCCUAUCAUGAUUAUAAAAAAAUAUUUUUAUUAUAUUUUUAUUUGAAAAGAAAAAAUACGAUUGACUUGUUAUUGAUGACGUGGUGCAAGCGUGACAGUGCAGAAAUUCUCGCAAAUACACGGCCCGUACGGACGCAUCUCGCCUCGCUUUUGCGUUGAUAUUGGUGCGGUGCGGGUCCCCCGAAUCGUGUGGUUGCUCCGCUCCGAUAGGAGGAUGGGCGGUCGAUAGGGACCCGCCCAUUUGUUCGUUUGGUUCCAUAUCAACUUUUGGGGAGCCAUUUUUUAUUUUAUAAUUUAUAAUUUAUAAUUUUUUUAUUUUGCCACUUAUAUUACUCGUAAUGUUAUUUUAGUGAAACUCCUGAUGUAGGUGUCGUCUAUUAGCCAAAUAAAUAAAUAAAUAAAUAUAUAAAAAAAAGGAUAGAGUACUUAUUUAUUGCUUAAGUGAUCUCAAAAUCAACUAAUAUCAAUUGUACAUGUAAGGAGUAUUUGCGAUCACUUGAUUACUAACUAAUUAGUAAUUAAAGCUGAAAAUUAUAAAAUUUGGUUCCUAAUAAGUUCAUGAGAUCGAUAUAAAUGAUGUUUAAUAAUGUCAACUGUUGAUUUAGAGAAACCAGCAUAAAAAAAGGAGUUGACAUUUCUAGAAGCAUGCCAAUUCAAUUCGAAUUCGUGAUGCAACAUUUUCAUUGAUGUCAAAUCUAGAGGUACUAAUAUGAUGAUUUUUCAAUUAAAAAGAUUUGAAUGAGAAAAUUUGUCUAUGCUUUCCCUUUUAAUAUGGUGAAAUUUGAUAAUUUGGAUAUUAAAUAUAUUUUCAAAUUUAUUUUUAUUAGAUUUUGUUUGGAUAUAUAUUAAAUAUAUUUUUGAAUUUAUUCUUAUCUCACGUAUUAAUUUCACGUGCUCAUGAGAGGAGACAUCGACUCAAAGUUUUGCAUAAUUUACUUUGAUUUCUCGGUUAUAACAUAUAUAGAAGAUAUAUGUGGAAGUGAAUCAUAUUAAUUGUACCUAUAUAUAGUGAGACUUUUAGGGUUUAGGUUUCUUUUUUAAUCUUUUUUAAUAAAUAAGCUACCUACAUUGAUUCUCUGUGGCUGGCUCAUUUAUUUGUGUGAAUGGAAACGGUUUUUUCCUUCGAAAUUUUAUUGAUUAAUUCUAGAUCUACAUUGUAUAUGUUCAUGCACCCUUACUUGAAUAAUCCUCAUUAUGUCUAACCACUAAGAAUCCCAAUGAUACAAUUUGAAUAGAAAAAUUAAAUAAAACUAAUUUUAAGUCAUUUUCGAUCUUCUGUAUAUACAACACUAGCAUCUUAACAGUAACAGGAUAAUUUCAUUAUAAUUUAUGCAACUGCUAAUUAAGAAUAAUUAAUAAUCAAAUUCGAUAGAAAAAUAAGUUCUGGUGCGAUAAACUAAAACUUUUUCGUUGGUUCGAGCUGUUUAAAAUCAACACGCAAUUAGAUUCAAGUAUAAUGCCAGUGGAUCAACUUCGAGCCCUUUUAACUCAAAAGUGUCAAUUCAUAGUUUUCAAUGUUAGAACUAAUUGAUGGUUAUGUGAGGUUGAAGAUAAUAAUGGUGACCACCACUUACAAAUUACAAUGAUUCGAUAGUGAUAUUGCAUGUUGCCGAGUGAGAACCAUGAGAGCUAUUGUUUGAGAUCAGCAAAUAUCCAGCAGCAAAUAAUAUUUCGUCAAAAAGACAAUGCGGUCACUAAAGGUGGUAUAAAAUCAUUCACUGGUCCCCUUGAAAACGCGGUCGAAGCUCGAGAAUCUUCCUCUUUGAGUCUGUUUGACUUGUUUGGAGAGCUUCUGCUGAAGCUCAAUUUAAGCAAAGUACUGAUAACCGUGUUACCACAAAUGCUAGGGAGAUGUAGUUUGUUCGGCGUGAAAAUAUCGAAAUAGAAAUAAAAGAAAUAGAAAAAAAUAAAGUACAUAAAAAUUUCAAUGGUACGUCAGUAUUGAUCUACGUUCACGAACGAAGAUGGAGCAAUACAGAUUAAUUAUGCUAAAAUCCAAUAACAGAAUUCGAACCCAUUUAGCAGAGAGGGUGGCCCGCGGCCCAAAGUUUUGAGACUUUGGAGGGCUCCUGCAAGUUGUGCGGCGGGGCUGCUUUACGGUGCAGUUGUCUCGAAUUUGUGUCGACUCUGCCGACAUCCCUUCACACCAGUCAAUCAACCCCCAAAAGUCAAUCCAAUCCCCAAAGUCAAUGAAGAUUUUAUCGGUCCCAAAUCGUUGAAAAGAUGAACAUACAUAUAUGCCCUCGUGAGUCAACUCGUUUUCAACCGUUGUAUUUUUCUUUUCGCUUAAGAUGGUAGAGCGCACUACUUACUACAUUACAAAUGAUCAACACGGUAUUUUGGUACCUCUUCGGCCAUAUUUGGAUGUCCAAAUAAUUCAUCAAAGGAUAUUUUGAUAGAUUUAUAUUUGUUUGUAAAAUAACAACAAAAUUAAAUGCAUACAAAAAUUCAGGAUUAUAAAUAAAAUGAAAUAACUCAUUAGAGCGCCAUAGAAAAAUAAUUUUUGAUCAAUCCGCGGAAGUAAAAAAUUCGGUUGUCAUCUGAACGUCACCAAAUAAACUUGGAUAAUUUGAUUUCUCCUCUUUCCCAGAUCAGGCACUCUUUCGUAUAGUGUGAAAUAGAUAGUAAUCACAUAAAGUAAUCGGAUCGGUAUCUUUUUAUAUAGAGUCCAAAUCAACUUUUCAUCAAUAUUUGAUUAAGAUUCUAUUUAAUUUAAAUAGAUGAGAAAAAGAUAAAAUACAUCAUAUCAAACAGUUCUAUAUCUAUUAGAAUUGACUUUUAUUUACAAUAAAUUUAGAUUUAGUACACAUGCCACAUUUAUGAAAAUCCUAACAUAUUCUACUCAACGUGAGAUAUUUCUAUUAUAAUAGAAAGCUACAAGAGUGACAAAAUUAAUGUCUAGAAUGCAAUAGUAUAUUCCGCGUUUAAAUUAUUUUUUUAAAAUAAGAUAAAGGUUGAUACUUUUAAAAACGUAAAAAAUCUAACUAGUGCCAACUUUAUUAUUAUGCAUGAAUUUUUAUAUCUAAUAAGUUAUUAUGGAAUACUUUAUUUGACAUCCAAACAAGACUUUCUGGAAUAUAUAUCUAAUCAUUGCUAUUAAAAGAUGAAUUAUAUUCAAAUUUUUAUAAUAAUUUUUAUUUCUGCUAUAAAAAAAAGCCAUCAAAUUGGAGCCUCGAAUUUUCAACUCCCAAUUCCAGUGGAGUACAACAGGAAGGGCACUGUAUUUACUCCUCUGUGUGCACCAACGCAAAAAGCGGAAAAGGUAGUAAUAUUUCUUGGUGUGAUCAACCAUGUGCAUAGAAAUCUUGUGCAUCGUAUUUUACACAAAUUUUACCUAAAAAAACUAGAAAAACACUCUUCUAUAUAUAAAUGAUCGUAAACAUAAGCGACAGUAGGAAGUGUUAUGGGAAUAGUAUUUUAAGGAGAGAUAUUUUAAUAAAGCAAUUAAAAAAAACCAAAUUAGAGACUUAGAAUCCUCUCUACUUCUCACUUUUCCGAGUUUUCUACAAGAGACAACUAUUGCUGAAAGCAGAAGUGAAAGGACCUAAUAAUCGACCGAUUAGUGGCCAGAAAAGUGACUAGCCUAGAUCGGAUUAGCAAAUAAUAAUGGGUCCAAACUGAGCUCGAUCAAUCCAAGUAAUAUCUCAGUCCGGCCUGUUUAGAUUGUUUUGGACUCAGAUGGUUUUCGUAGAACUGAAUUGGCCAGAAAUAUGUUUAGCCCAAAAUAUUUGCAUUCACCCUUGACCACUCCUAGCAGCAGAAAGAAAAAUUCGCAGAAAAAAAAUAGGCAAGAACUAAAAGAUGGCAAUUUCAGAGUUUUUUUACCGACCGUCCCUAGAGCAAGUGGCAAAGAACUUGAUGGUUGGUAUCUGAGACUCAAGUUCGAAUCCUAUUUGAUUCAUAUUUCUAGCUAAGUUUAUUUCUAAAUGAAAUAAACGAAGCGGUAUCUCUCAAAAAAAAAAAAAAAAAAUUUCAGAGUCUUUUCGGUAGCCGGGUGCGUCUCACGAGCAUGCCGCACUGUACAGCUUUUUAAGAAAUCUUUGCAUGCAUGCAGAAUUUUUUCAAAAUGGUACACAUUCAUCCAGCCAUAUAACUAAGGAUCUGUUUACAUGCAUAAAUAUUUUAUUAAGAAAUUUUUUUUAAAUUUUUUCCAAGAAGUUUAUAGUUUUUGGUAGAUUAGGGUAUAAUUAAAUGUUUAGAAAAAUAUACGAUAUGUGGCAUUGUCACAUCGUAGGUAAAUUAUACUAUCCAAAUAAAUUAUUACUUUCAUGAUCUUACAUAAAGCAAAAUCUAUACUCUGAACUUCCGCCAGCAUGCAUUAUUAAGAAGCCUCGUAUGUGUUAUGCUGUAGAGUUUAGUAGUCAUAUAAUUUGUUCUUUAGUUAUUUUCUUCACGCUUCUUAGUUUUUGCGCAAAAUAAGAGUGACAAAAAAAAAAAGAAGCUAUACUCUCUUCUAAAAGUAGAUGAAAGUAAAAUUUAAAUUAAAAUUUGAACUCUUUUAGAAAGUGAGGGACAUACCAUAAGGUGAUUCGUAAAAAUAUUUUGAUGACUGAAUUUUCAUCCAUUCAAAUUCAAAUUCUAUUCACCAUUGAAGGUAACUAUAACAUCACUUCACUUCAAAAAAAUAAAAAAAAAAAACUAAAAAAACCAAAACAAAACAAAAUAAGAGGCACUUAGGCAUGGGAUACUUGUCAAAAUCUAGCUAAUUUUUUUACCAGAGCACAUGAGAUGAAGGAAACUCCAAUGUACAUAAUCAUGUCACAUGGCACUCUAAAGAAUAUAGAAAAGCUAAAAUUGCUUAAACUAGUACCUACUCAUGCACAUGACCAAUGUGCUCGCCUACCAAUUUUUCCCUCAUAUAUCAACUCAUCAAUGAAUAUACGCAACUACGUACAUAUAUAACCUACUCUAUCUCUACACAAUGUCCUCAUUGAAGCAUCACAAAUGUUACAACUUUUAUUCUUCGUUCUCCUAUCACUCAUUCCCUAUGUCAUUCCCACUUCCUUCGAUAUCCGGCUCGAUCUCAAGCACGUUGAUGCUGAUUCGGGCUUGACUCGGGUCGAGCUCCUCCGACGAGCGGCGCUCCGGGGCAAGAGCAGGGCGACGAGCCUAAUACAUAACUCUACCAUCAACGCGCCGGUCCAGUCUAACGGGGCUGAGUACUUGGUCGAGUUGGCGAUCGGCUCGCCAGCUCAACCUGUCAUGCUCAUCCUUGACACUGGCAGCGAUCUCAUCUGGACUCAGUGCCAGCCCUGUCUCGAAUGCUUCAACCAGAGCCUCUCUCUCUACGCUCCCUCAAACUCGUCCACUUUCUCUAGGCUCUCUUGCUCUAGCAAGCUAUGCCGGGCCCUUUCUCUCUCUGCGUGUCACGGAUUGUGCAUGUACAUGUACGGUUACAGUGAUAAAUCUACUACCAUAGGUGUUUUGGGCGCCGAGACCUUCACCUUUGGUACCACCACUAAAAAGGUCAAAAUCCCCCGUCUCGGGUUCGGAUGUGGGAUUCUGAACCAAGGAAUAUUUUUAACCGAAUCUGGCAUAGCCGGUUUCGGCCGCGGACCCUUAUCAUUAAUCUCUCAACUAAAAAGUAAAAAGUUCUCUUACUGCUUCACUCCCAUACACGACUACAAAAGAAGCACCCUAUUUUUUGGGACGUUAGCGAAUCCAAAAAAGAUCCGAAGUGGAUCCAUCAAAACCACUCCACUAAUCAAAAACCCGCUAAGGCCAAGCUUGUACUACCUCUCUCUCAACGGAAUAACGGUCGGAAAUAAACGCUUAAAAAUACCGAAGUCGGCGUUCACUAUAAAAGAAAACGGCAAUGGUGGAGUAAUAAUAGAUUCCGGCACCGGCUUUACCCGAUUGAACCGGGUCGCGCAUGAUCAGGUAAAGUCCGCAUUUGCAUCUCAAUUAAAGCUCAGCGUCAUUAACGACUCUACAGGAACGUUUGACGUCUGUUUCUCGGUGCCGAUAUCUUCUUAUUUGAGAGUUGAAGUGCCCAAGCUUAUAUACCAUUUCGAAGGUGCGGAUAUGGACGUACCGCGGGACAAUUACGUGGUUGAUUUAGACGAAGGCGGUGGAUUAAUGUGCUUACUUGUAUCGAAAUCGAAGUCGAAUGAUGUUUCAAUAAUAGGGAAUAUACACCAGCAAAAUAUGUGGAUCGAAUAUGAUUUGGAGAAGAACGAGUUGGGGUUUGCUCCUGCCCAAUGUGAUCAGCUGUGACUCAAUUUGGUUUCUAAAUGAUAGCAUUAGCUUUAAUUUGAUAGGAAUAUAUGUGGAGCUGAUUUAUGUUUGUAUUAGUUAAGGGAAAAGGAUAUGUUAAAACUUUUUAGUGAUCUCGUACUAUUUAGAGAUUAUCUUUUAGAAAUGGUAAAAUGCUUCAUGUACGGUCCUAAAGAAGUUCGUUAUUGUUAAUGAGUUAUGUGUAGAAAUAAAUACAAUAAAUUUCUUUCAUAUUUUGUAACUAUAGUUAACACACUUGCGUACAAUUCUAAACAAGAACUAAAAUAGUAUAUAUUCUGGACGUAUUACUUGCCAUAAGACUUUGAUUAAGUAAUACGUACUACAUCCUAUACCUCAGUCAAAAUGAUCGACGUAAUUCUACUGACAAAAAUGCAGAAUUACUGUUAUUGUUAUUAACUUUUUGGGGGGAAAAAUGAUCGAAUACUAAAGGAAAAAUAAUUCAGAUAAAUGCAGGAUUGAUGACCUAGUACAAUUAGUGAAUUUCGCGUCAAUCAGUUAGUGGAGGAAUCUAUGUAAUUCUUUUAUUACAUGAGGUGGGGAAACACCAACUUAGUACAAGAUUAAGUACUUAAUAGGGCAAUAUAUUUUGAUUCUUAUGGAAUACAGGACCUUCAAUUGAAACAAUCUCACUCAUUAAUUAAGAUCACAGCUGAUCGCACCGCGCAGGAGCAAAAGAUAACUUCUGAUUGUCCAGAUCGUAGACUACGUGCAUAUUCUGCUGCUGAAAAUUGCCAAUUGUAGAGCUUUCGUCUCCGGAAUCGAACAUCGCCAAGCACAUUAAACCGACGGUAGAAUCUUGGUACAUGUAAUUUUCGUGCGGCAGAUCCAUAUCAGCGCCUUCGAAGUGGAAUAUCAGCUUCGGCACGUCCACCUUUGCUGACGGAGACGACGGCAGCGAGAAGCAAAGGUCAAAAACCUCUGCGGUGGCGUUAGCCACGGGCGGCUUCACCUGCGACAAGAAGGCGCUCCUCACGAGCUUGUAAGCAACCGUGGUUAGCUGCGUGAUGGCCGUUCCGGAGUCUAUGAUCACUCCGCCCGUCCCGUUUCGCUGCAGCACGAAUGCCGACUUCGGUAUCGGUAGACGGGUCGUGCCGACCGUUAUACCGUCGAGAGAGAGGUAAUAGAAGGUUGGCUGUGAAGGAUUCAGAACGAACGGAGUCGACCGGACGGCAGUAGCACUGCCGUUCAGAUCGGCAGCUGAUCCUAACAUGAGUGUGCUGCUCUUCGAAUCGUCGUCGUCGUAGGAAAUGAAGCAGUAAGAAAACUUUCCGACUCCUAACUGAGAGAUGAGAGACAAGGACCCGCGACCAAAGCCUGCGAUCCCGGAUUCGUUGUUGAAGAGGCCCCCGUUGAGAAACCCACAGCCGAAUCCAAGGUUCGGGACCGUGACGUUGUUAGAGGACCCGAAGGUGAAGGCCUCGCUGGCGAGAGUGCCGAUGGCGAUUGAGUUGUCGCCAUAGCCGUAAAGAUAGAGGCAUUGUGCGUGGCAGGCGGAUAGAGGAAGAGCCCGGCAGAGCUUGCUGGAGCAGGCGAGCGGCGAGUAGGUGGAUGAUUGCGAAGGAUCGUACAAAGGAAAGCGCUGGUUGAAGCACGAGAGGCAGGGCUGGCACUGCGUCCAGACGAGAUCGCUGCCAGUAUCAAGGUUGAGCAGAAGAGGCUGUGGUGGCGUGCCGAUGGAAACUCCGAUGGUGUAGUCGCCGGCAUUUGGCAAGACAGGCACGUCAGUUGUGGAUAUCGAGUUGGCAGAACCCCCGCGCGGCCUUGGACACGAGCAUCGCACCCCGGGCCCUGCUUCGGAGCGCCAUGCGCUGCAGGAGCUCGAAUUUGGUGAAGUUCCGGCCCGCAUCGACGUGGGUCAGGUCCACGCGCAGACCGUCGAAGGCAGAAAUGGCCGGAGGAACUAGCGAGACAAGGAGGAGCACCAGGACUGCAGGCAGCAUAUUUUCAGAGGGCUUAACAGCAUACAUGUUGUGGUCUGAGUUACAGAGACUAUAUGUUUUGCGAAGCUAACACUUGUUUGGAGGAAUGUUUAUAGAGUGGGGGAUUUAGCAAGAAUGUGUCUCCCUGAUGGCGAAUAUUGUUGAAUUAUGUAGUGUUAAAUUUUUCUUGGUCUAAUACGAGGACUUGGUUAACGCGCUAUUACAUAUAUUUCCAAAUUUUGGGUCUCAAUCGCCGUAGUGAAGGGGUUUAGCUCGAACACAUUAUACAUUAUACAUUAUACAUUAUACGUAUCUUGACGCGGCAAAAUUAUGCGUGCCUAUUAGCGGCGUAAACGAGCCGGACACGAACGAGUGGGGGCCGGCUCGUAUUCGGCUCGUUUAAUAAACAAGCUGAAUACGAACUGGCUCGUUAAAGUAUUGAGCCGAAAAAUUCAGCUCAUAUUCGGUUAUUAAUAACGAGCCGAAUACGAGCUGGCUCACGAACUGACCAACGAACAAUAAGUUAAGCCAACGUUUAGAUCGGGUAUAAAGGGGGAUAAGAGGUUAUCCCCCUUUAUACCCAAACAUGAUUUUGGGGGGUGGGCACUCAACCCGGUUCCCACCCGGUGGGAACCGGGUUGGGUGGGAACAACUUGUUCCCACCCAGGGUUGGGACAACGGGUAGGAACAACUUGUUCCCACCCACCGGGUAGAGAGAAAGAGAGAGAGAUUGAUUUUUAUUUUAAAUUAAAUUUUUAAAAUUUAAAAUUAUAAAUUUUAAAGUUUAAAUUUUAAAUUUGAUAUUUUUAGUUUUUAAAAUUUAAAUUUGAUAUUUUAUAUCUUUUAAAUUUAAAUUUGGUCUUAAAUUUAAAAUUUGAUAUUUAAAAUUAAAAUUUUNAAUAUCAUUAUUUUCUAUUUAUAACUACCAACUAUUCUAGCUUAUACUCACAUUUUCAUUCAAACAUAAUUUUUCUAAUUCCAGUUUAUAUUUACAUUUUCAUCCAAACAAAAAAAUAUUUUUAUUUUUAUAAAAAUCCAUACUUGUACCUAUCCCUAGUAUAACUAGUUCUUUCUUAUACCCGAAUCAAACGGAGCCUAAAAGAAUUAGAUUGAAUAUAUAUAAAAAAUAAAUUUAUAGAACUUAUUCAUUAGACUUUGAUCUAAUAGUUGAAACUUUAUAUAUAAAUAAGUCUUUUUAUAAUUAAGUUUGUCUUUAUAUUUUUAUUUUGCUAAAAAUUAAAUAAUAAAAAUAUAUAUUAUAUAUAUAGUUAUUUAUUUAUAUAUAUAUAAAUAUAAAUUAAAUAAAUUAUAUAAAUAUAAAAUAUAGUAUUCGAGCUGUUAUCGAGCCGAACACGAGUAAGCUAACCCCAGCUCGUAUUCAGCUCAUUUAUUAAACCAGCCGUAAAAUUCAAUUCGAGUUCGACUCGUUUACUAAACGAGCGAUUCGAUCUCAAGCUCAUUUUGAGCCGAACACGAGCUGGCCCGCGAACGACGAGCUGAAUUGCUACCCUAGUGCCUAUAUAACAAAUUUUUUAAAAAUAUUAUUUCAAUAUAAAAUUACUAUACUAUCUAUGAUUAGAAUUUUUUAGUACCAUGCAUGGUAUGAUAAAAUUGAGAUGUACGUUUUUUUUAAUACUAGAAUCUAAAAAAGUUAUCCAAAUUUUUGGAUAAGACGGAAGUAAUAUUUAUACCUAAAAAUUAGGCCUACAAUUCACAUUUCUCUAAAUAUAAAGAUAAAUAAAGGAGUUCUAGAAGCAGAGGUUGACCCGGGUCAAUGUAUCAUGGAAAGAAAUGGAAAAAAAGAAAGAAAAAGAAAAAGAAAAAGAAAAAGAAAAACGAGUACGAUGAACGCGCACAACGGAAACGUGGAACCGAAGCGCGGUCGCUUUUCCUUGUGUGCUUUGUACAACGACUUAAUCAUCCCAGUUUCCACGCUAAACAACUCUGUUGUGAUUAAUUUAGGCCAAUUUGCAUAAAAAAUUCAUUUAUUUUGGGCUUUUUCAAAAUCAGGUCACCUUUUUUGUUUUUGCAGAUUCGGUACGUUUUUUCAGCAAACUGACCAAAAUAUCCUUAUUACUUUUUCUCUUUCCUCUUUCUCUCUUCUCUUCGUUCUCUCGUUUUUUUUUUUUCGUCGGAAAAAAAACAAGCGAAGGCCAGGCGGAGCAAUUUUUUCUUCUCUUUUUCUUUUUCCUCUUCUUCUUCUUCUUCUUCUUCCUGUAAGAGCACGGGGCGCGCCACGGCGACUUCCGGCCUCGCCAAGCGGCGUCCACCCGGCGGCGUUCUGCAGGGAGGGGUCGGCACCGGCGACCGCGAGCGCUGCGGCGAGGGUGGGGGCGAGCGGGAGGCGGGCAGCGAGGUGGAGCGGGGUGUCGCAGCCGGGGACGUCGCGCCGGUCGAGAGCGGGGGUCACGCGCUCCGCUCGGGCGGCGUCGGCCGCCGUCGCGAUCUCCGACGGCUGCUUCUUCUUUUUCGUAAUGGUGUAAUGGUGCACGCGGGCCGGUGCACGCAGCGGCGGCGGGCGGGCAUGCGGGCGCGUUGCGGCUGCUUCUUUUUCGUCGUAAUGGUGUAAUGGUGCACCAUUACACCAUUAAUGGUGUAAUGUAAUGGUACACCAUUACACCAUUAAUGGUGUAAUGGUGCAAUUACACCAUUAACGGUGCACGCGGCCCGCGGAGCGGAGCCGCUGGCGGAGCUCCGCCGGGCGCAGCCGCCCGAGGGCCUCCUCGAAGCGCGCCAGCAGCGCGGCGUGGCGCCGGCGCUGCCGCGUGGAGCGGACAGCGAAGUCAGCGUGCAUGAGGGGAAGCUGGCGGAGCCCAAGGCGGCAACCGCACCAUCGACAAUUAAUUUUUCUAUUUCUUUCUGAAAUGAAGGGCUAAUUCUGAUACCACGUCGGCCGGCGGCGCCUGCGACAGAAGAGCGAGCUAGAGAAAGCAAGGAGGACAAGGAGGACGAGGAGAUCAGCAAGAGAGCAUUAGAACCGGAGCCUGAGAGGCCAUGUUAAUUAGGUCUCUAUUGAUCUCAAGUAACUAAACAAAUCAAGAGCAAUGCUAUUAAUUAGUUGUAUGAGCUCGUGUCCAACGAUUGCGUAUAUAUAUGUAGCAAUAAUUAACAAAUAGACGAGGGAACAUAUAUAGUGCCUUGGUCAGUUUAAUUAAUUACAACGUAUAGUUGUGUCGGCUAAUAUAUUUAUUAUAAAUGUGAUGAACUUCUAUCAAGUUGAGCCUCUGAAUUUUUUAUUAUAAAUGCUCCGCCAGCUUCCCUAACCUCGUCGGGAUGCGGGACUAACAACAGCGGUUCUGCCCCCUCCAUCCCCCCUCCAUCCCGUCCUCCUGACGAUCCCCCUCCCUGCAUCCCGAUGAGCGGCGGUUCCGCCGCCACUUCGACGCCGCCGGCGCCGUCUUCUCCGCCUCCGCCGCCAAGCUCGAGCUGUCCGCGCGCCUCCUGCGUGAGCGGCACGUGCUGGGACGGGCGGUCGCCGCCGCCGGCCGCAACCUCGGCCACGAGUUCGAGCGGCUGCCUCGGCCACGACUUCGCUGCCCGCUCCGCGCGGCAGCGCCGGCGCCACGCCGCACUGCUGGCGCGCUUCGAGGAGGCCCUCGGCCGGCUGCGCCCGACGAAGCUCCACCCACGGCUCCGCUCCGCGGGCCACAUGCACCGUUAAUGGUGUAAUUACACUAUUACACCAUUAAUGAUAAAAUUACACCAUUAAUGAUAUAAUGGUGUAAUUUCAAUAGUGUAAUUUCAUCAUUAAUGGUGUAAUGGUGCACCAUUACACCAUUAAUGGUAAAAUUACACCAUUAAUGGUGUAACCAUUACACCAUUCACCAUUAAUGGUGUAACCAUUAUAUCAUUAAUGGUGUAAUUACACCAUUACGACGAAGAAGAAGCAGCCGCAGUGCAUCGCGAUGGCGGCCGACGCCGCCCAAGCGGAGCGCCGGGCGGCGCGCGUGACCCCCGCUCUCGACCCGGAGCUGCUGCUGACCCUGGGGAGCAAGGGGAGAAGGAGGGAGGCAUCCGCAUCGCGCGCGCCGUGAGUGUCGUCGUCGCCUCCGUCUACCAGCCGAGCCGUCGUGUGCUGGGGCUCGUUGACCGCCGCCUCAUCCUCUCGCACAGCCGCGCCGCCUACUCCGGCGACCCGGGCCACCUCGCCGACUUCCUCGCCGCAUUCAGGUGCUCCAUCCCCGCCGGCGAGAGCCCCGCCGAGUUCGCCCUCGACGCCGUCCGCUCCUCGAGCCCGCCACGUCGUCGUCGCUCGCCGAGUUCAACACGGCCGCCGCUGAGGGACGUGAUCGCGGCGAGCAUCUCGCAGGGGAAGCUGGUGUCGUCGCGGGGGCGAUGAACGUGCGGCGCGCCGCGGAUCUGCUGCUGACUCGGGGAAGCAAGGGGAGAGGGAGGGAGAUAUCCAUCUCUGACAAGAAGCAGAGGAAGAAGAAGAAGAGAAAAAGAAAAAAAAAAGAAACGAAAUAGUGUAAAAUAUUUUUAAAUGGUGCAAUCUUAGUCUAAAAAGUGUAAAAUUUAUUUCAAAAGAGUGUAAUUUAUAUAUCAAAUAGUAUAAUUUUUAUUAAAACAGUGUAAUUUUUUUAAAAACUGUGUAAUCUUAUUUUAAGAGUGCAAUUUUUAUCAUCUUCUUUCUUCUAUAUUUUUUGAUCUUUUCUGUAGAAAAAAAAUAAUUUUUAUUUUUAUUUUUUAUUAUUCUUAUUUUUUUUCUAUAAUUUCUUUUUGUCACCAUUUCUUCCUUGCUUUCUAUCGCAACCACCGCGACGUCGUCGGAGGCGAUCUCGUCGCCUGCCACCUCCGACGACGUCUCGGCGUUCCAACACGCGGUGGAGGAGAAGCCGUUUGGCGAGGCCGGAAGUCGCCGUGGCGCGCCCCGUGCUCUUACAGGAAGAAGAAGAAAAAGAAGAAGAAGAGGGAAAAAAAAAAGGUGCUCCAGUAGGAGGAAGAAGAAGAAGAAAAAGAAAAAAAGAAGAAAAAAUUGCUCCGUCUGAUCUUCGCUUUUUUCUUUUUCCGGCGGAAAAAAAAAAGAACGAGAGAACGAAGAGGAGAGAGAAAGAGGAAAGAGAAAAAGUAAUAAGGGUAUUUUGGUCAGUUUGCUGAAAAAGCAGACCGAAUUUGUAAAAAUAAAAAAGGUGGCCGGUUUUGCAAAAGUCCAAAAUAAAUGAAUUUUUUAUGCAAAUUGGCCAUUAAUUUAGCCCACACUAGUAAAUGUUUUGAAGCAAAUUUUUUUUAAAAAAACUGUUAUAUGAAAGCUUAAGUUUUUAUAGAUCACCGGUUAAUUAAUUUUAAAUUAGUCCAAUGGCGCUUGUUAGUCGCAGCUAGCAUAUAUAGUUGUUUGUGCAGCAUGCAAGUUGCGCCUAACAUAUGAGUUGGAUUUAUAUCUUGUAUUAGUUGCAGUACCACUGUAUUAGGUUCAUGUCACGUAUUAAUAGUACCUAGCAUAUGUAGGAAGAGUAACAGUAUAGAAUCUUUGAUUUUUUAUGUUGUUACAACAAAAUUGAAAAAAAAAUCUGUUUUGUCGGACGUGAAAAUAAAAGCAUAGAAUAGAGAAAGAGAGAAAAAAAUAAAUAUACAAAUAUUUACCUGGUUCAGACACACACAAGCCUAUUUUUAACAGAGAAAAUUUUUAUUUUAACCAAAGUAGAGUAUAAAAGAUGCCUCUCUCAUAAAAAACCUAGCUUAAUUCCAAAAUACAUCUAUAUAUACUUCCUUUUUUUUCUGCCACAUCAAAUUAAUAAAUAAAAAGUAUAUUUAUAUUAAUGAUUAAAAUCCAAUAACAUUGGUAAUAAUAUCAAUAAGAUUAGAUCUCUCAAAAAACAAAAAAAUCAAUAAGAUUAGGUAUAAUCUUAACAUAACUUAAUAAGUUGACAGAGAAAGAAUGUGGUUAAUUAGGAAAUUUUACGGUUUUAGAAUUCAAAAUAUAUCUAACAUAUAUUAUGUGGAGAGUAUUUUCACCAGUUACUUUGAGUUUUGGGAAUGUUUUUAGCCUUUUAGGCCCGUUUGGAUACUCCAAAAAAUAUAGCAUAGUUAAACUAUACUACGGCGGUAGGAAAAAUAUCCUAUGAAGCGUUUGGGAGGAAAAAAAGUAACGAAAUUUUUGGAGUACUAGAUUAAACUAUACUCCAAAAAAUAGAGGUAAAAGUAUAAUCCAAUCUAACAAAGAAAAAAAAUUCCACCAUUCUUGAGCUCCUUAUUCAAAAAAAUGCAUCAAGUUCUAACUUUUAAAUUUCAACAUAAAAUUUUAAAUUUCAACAUAGAUUUUAAAUUUCAAAUAGAUUUAAAAUUUAAAAUUUAAAAUUUGAAAUUUGAAAUAUCAAAUUUGAAAUUUAAAUUAAAAAUUUAAAUUUUAAAUUUUAAAUUUCAAACUUUAAAUUUCAAAUUUCAAAUUUCAAUUUCAAAUUUAAAUUUCAAAUUUUAAAUUUCAAAUUCAAAUUUUAAAUUUUAAUUUAAAUUUAAAUCAAAUUUCAAAUUUCAAAUUUAAAUUUCAAAUUUCAAAUUUCAAAUUUCAAAUUUAAAUUUCAAAUAUAAUUAUAAAUUUCAAAUUAUAAAUUCAAAUUUAAAUUUCAAAUUUCAAAUUUCAAAUUCAAAUUUCAAAUUUAAAUUUUAAAUUUCAAAUUUCAAAUUUCAAAUAUAAAUUUGAAAUUUCAAAUUUAAACUUUAAAUUUUAAAUAUUUUUUUUAAAUUUAAAAUUUAAAAUUCUAAAUUUUAAAUUUCAAAUUUUAAUUUUAAAUUUUUAUUUUAAAUAAAAUUUCAAAUAUAAAUUUUAAAAUUUAAAUUUUAAAUUUUAAAUUUAAAAUUUUAAAUUUCAAAUCUCAAGUCUCACAGUUCAAAUUUCAAAUUUUAAACUUUAAAUUGUAAAUUUAUUUUUUUAAACUUUAAAUUUUAAAUUUAUUUUUUAAAUUUAAAAUUCUAAAUUUCAAAUUUCAAAUUUCAAAUUUUAAAUUUUAAAUUUUUUUUUAAAAUUUUAAAUUUAAAAAUUUAAAAAUUUAAAAAUUAAAUUUAGAUUUUUAAAUUUUAAAUUUGAAAAUUGAAAAUUUAAAAUUUAAAAUUCAAAAUUCAAAAUUUCACAUUUCACAUAUCAAAUUUUAAAUUUUAAAUUUUUUUUGAAAUUUUAAAUUUUAACUUUUAAUCUUAAAAUUUAGAAAAAUCCUGUUAAAUUUACAAUGCGUAUCCAAACAGUUUAAAAAUUGAAUCUGUGAAAUUUUUUAGAGUUGCAGGAUUCUCUAUUUUAUCUAGACCGAAACCACAGUUUAUAAAUUCCGUGGAGAUAUUUUACUGUGUAUCCAAACAGGUCCUUAAUAUAUAGUAAACAACUGUUGAAACUCACAAUCUCAUUUUUACUUUCUACUUUGAUAUAUGAUCCAAAAUUUUCUCUUUACUAUGUGCUCUAUGACAGCUACUGCUGAAAGUGAAAAUAGAAGCAAGAUUAAAUAAGGGAAAACUUCAAAAACCCCCCUUGUGGUUUCAUUUUUUUUCAUUUUAGUACCCUGUGGUUUAAAAUGUAUCAAGUUAGUACCAUGUGGUUUCUCACUUUAUCACUUUAGUACUCUGUGGUUUAAAGUGUAUCUAGUCAGUACCGUGUGGUUUUGCACUUUAUCACUUUAGUACUCUGUGGUUUUAAUUUUGUAUCAAGUUAGUAUCCUAUAGUUUUUUAAACUAUAGAAUACUAAAGUGAUAAAGUGUGAAAUCACAGGCUACUAAAGUGAUAAAGUGCAAAACCACAGGGUACUAACUUGAUACACUUUAAACCACAGGGUACUAAAAUGAUAAAGUGAGAAACCACAGGGUACUAACUUGAUACACUUUAAACCAUAGGGUACUAAAAUGAUAAAGUGAGAAACCACAUGGUACUAACUUGAUACACUUUAAACCACAGGGUAUUAAAAUAAAAAAGUGUGAAACCACAGAAGGGAUUUUUGAAGUUUGCCCUUUAAUAAUCCUUAAGAGUAAAUUUGUUGAAUUGUUGUAGAAAAGUAUUGGUGAGAAUCUAUAGAAUAUAUUAUUUGACGAUUGGAUCACCCCAAAAAAAUACGUUGUGAGAGAGCCAUGUUGCCAAUUAAGCCAUAAACCAACGGAAGUUUGCCACGUUUCUAAUAAAAAUUUUGGAUGCAUCCAUUGCUUAAGUCGACUUUAAAAUUUACAUCAAAGAUAAAAUUUUUAAUACAAUAAAUUAUUUAAAUAUUUUAUGUUAUAUAUAUAGGGUUAAUUUGAUACUAAUAUAUGUGGAGGUGAUUUAUGUUUGUAUUAGUGGAGGGAAAAGGAUUAUAACGUUUUAGUGAUCUCGUACUAUUUGGAUUAUCUUUUAGAGAUGGAGUAAUGCUUCAUGAACCUUCCUAAGAUAGUUUGUUAUAAUAUUGUUAAUGAGUUAAAUUUUUCGUACUAGUUGGGAUUGCUAUGUUAUAUCUAGGUAAUUAAAUCUGCCCAAUUAAUUUGUUAUUAUGUAUAGAAAUAAAUAAAAGACUAAAUUAUAGAAAAAAUACUCGUUUUUUUACUUCCUCUCCGUAACUUUCAAAAAACCUAUGUUUUACUCCCUCAACAUUUCAAAUUGUUGCAUUUAGCCCCCCAUUUGUCAUGAUUCUAUCACCGUUCUAUCCAUUUCUUUUCAUUUAUAUUGAAAAUAUUCUUUAAAUGACAAAAUAUAUUAAAAUUUUAUUUUUUUCUUAUAGAAGAAAUAAUUUACGUUUUGAAAAUCGAAAAGUGAAAGCAAAAAAAUGAUAUUUAUAAAAGAAUUUCUGUAAUUUAGCCUAAAUAAAAUAAAUUUCUUUUUUUAUUUGAAAGAUAGGUAGCAUGCUAUCCGCUUCAUUUAUUUCAUUUAGAAAUAAACUUAAGAUGAGUUUGUAUCCUUGUAAAAUCUCUCCGAAAAAAAAAUUUUCGAUUGAAAAUUUUUUUUUCCCUUGUUUGGUUAUCUGUAAAAUUUUUUUUGAAAAAGUUAUUUUACAAAUUUCUCGGAAAAAAUCGAGUUUUCGUUUUUGGCCUUCUGCCUGCGGAAAAUGAAAAGCAAGAUGGAAAUGGUGCGGCAUUUGGCGUGGAGGGGAGCAGCGGAAUAGCGCGGUCCACGAGGCCACUUCGGCCUUGUGCACCGUGUGAGAGGGAGGUGGACCUCCCUCUCAUUAUAUAUAUAUAUAUAUAUAUAUAUAUAUAUAUAUAUAUAUAUAUAUAUAUAUAUAUAUAUUAUAUAUAUAUAUAUUUAUUUAUAUAUANNNNNNNNNNNNNNNAUAGGUGGCAACGGAGCCCGUUUGCUAUCGAUAGUAUUCUAGCUCAACUCUAUAUAUAUAUAUAUAUAUAUAUAUAUAUAUAUAUUAUAAUAAUAAUAUAUAUAAUAUAUUAAUUAUUAUAUAAUAAUAAUAUAUAUAAUAAAAAAUAUAUUAAACACGUUUUCAUCUAUUUUUCUUUUCUUUUUAACCAAAUAAUCAUUAUGAAAAUUUUUUUUUUUUUCUACAAACCAAACGCUAAACUACGAAAUUUUUUCAAUUUUACGUCAAACCAAACAGCCUCUUAGUUGAAAAUAUGAAUCAACUAAGAUUCGAACUUGAAAUCUUCGAAUACCAAUCACUAAAUUCUUUGUUACUUGCUCUCGGAACUGUCAAAAAAAUAAAUUUCUUAUGUAUUAUGUUGAUGCACCUUACGCACUCUACUUACAAUUCUAAACAAAACCUAAAGUGGUGCGUACUGAGGAAGUAUUAUUUGGGACAAUGAUUAAAUAACACUUUAUUCGGUAGCUGAGCCGAAAUGCUCGACAUAAGCAACCGAGCUUUGGAGAUUCUACUGACCAAAAUGCAGCAUUAGUAAUAUUGUUAUUUUCUUUUCUAAAAAUGAUAGAAUGCUAAAGAAAAAAAUAAUAAAGAUAAAUGCAAGAUUUUUGAAGACCUAUUCCAAUUAAUUAGUGAAUUUCACAUCAAUCAGUGAGCGGAAGAAUCAAUGUAAAUAUUCUUUUGCUGCCCAAGGUGGCGAAAUACCAGCUUAUUACAUGAUUAAAUACUUACUGACAGGGCUAUAUUUUUUUAUUCUUAUGAAAUACAGGACCUUCAACUGAAACAAUCUCACUCAUUAAUUAAAAUCACAGCUGAUCGCACUGCGCAGGAGCAAAAGAUAACUUCUGAUCGUCCAGAUCGUAGACUAUGUGCAUAUUCUGCUGCUGAAAAUUACCAAUUAUGGAGAUUUCGCUGCCGGAAUCGAACAUCGCCAAGCACAUUAAACCCACGCUGGAAUCCUGGAGCAUGUAGUUGUCGCGCGGCAGAUCCAUAUCUGCGCCUUCGAGGUGGAAUAUCAGCUUCGGCACGUCCACCUUUGCUGAUGGAGACGACGGCAGCGAGAAGCAAAGGUCGAAGCCCUCCGCGGUGCCGUUAGCCACGGGCAGCUUCACCUGCGACAAGAAGGCGCUCCUCACGAGCUUGUAAGCAACCGUGGUUAGCUGCGUGAAGGACGUUCCGGAGUCUAUGAACACUCCGCCAGUCCCGUUUUGCUGCAGGGCAAAUGCCGACCUCGGUAUCGGGAGACGGAUCGUGCCGACCGUUAUACCGUCGAGAGAGAGGUAAUAGUAGGUUGGCUGUGAAGUAUUCGUAACGAACGGAGUCGACUGGAUGUUAGUAGAGCUGCCGUUUAGAUUGGCAGCUGAUCCUAACAUGAGUGCGCUGCUCUUCGAAUCGUCGUCGUCGUAGGAAAUGAAGCAGUAUCCGAACUUUCUGACUCCUAACUGAGAGAUGAGAGACAAGGGCCCACGACCGAAGCCUGCGAUCCCAUUGAAGUUGCCCUGGUUUUGAAACCCGCAGCCGAAUCCGAGGUUCGGGACCGUGACGUUGUUAGUGGACCCAAAGGUGAAGGCCUCGCUGGCGAGAGUGCCGACGGUAAAUGAGUUGUCAAGGUAAUCGUAAAGAUAGAGGCAUUGCGCGUGGCAGGCGGAUUGAGGAAGAGCCUGGCAGAGCUUGCUGGAGCAGGGAAGCGGCGAGUAAGUGGCUGACUGUGAAGGAUCGUACAAAGGGAAGCUCUGGUUGGUGCACGAGAGGCAGGGCUGGCACUGAGUCCAGAUGAGAUCGCUGCCGGUGUCAAGCAUGAGCAGGAGAGGCUGUGCCGGCGUGCCAAUGGAAACUCCGAUGGUGUACUCAUAGGGAUUUGGCGAGACAGGCACGUCAGUUGCGGAGAUCGAAUUGGCAGAACCCCCCGCGGCCUUGGACACGAGCAUCGCACUCCGGGCCCUGCUUCGCAGCGCCAUGCGCUGCAGGAGCUCGAAUUUGGUGAAAUUCCGGCCCGCGUCGACAUGGGUCAGGUCCACGCGGAGACCGUCGAAGGCAGAGAUGGCCGGAGGGACUAGCGAGGCGAGGAGGAGGAGCACCAGAAUUGGCAGCAUAUUUUCGAAAGGUUUAACGGCAUACAUGUUGUGGUCUGAGAUACAGAGACUUUAUGUUUUGGGGAGAAAAUAUUUGUUAGAAUGUAUGUUUAUAUAGGGGGAUUUAGCAAGAAUGAGUCACUGUGAUAGCACAUAUUGUUAAAUUAUUUACAGUGUUUACCUUUUCUCGGUAUAAUAGAAGGACUCAGUUAACGCCCUCGUGUAUAUAUUUCAAACAAUGCCCUUUCAAUAUCUUGACAUGGUUUCUUGACAAGGUUCCCUUUCAAACAAUGCCCUUUCAAACAAUGCCCUUUCAAGCGAGGAACCUACGUUUUGUGUGGUUUAUCUUUGAAUGGACCUCAGGACUUAAAAUCAACAGAAAAAAAGUCCGAACUUUUCUAUAUGGGGAGGAAUGUGCAGAAGGGAGAAAUAUUAGCGGAAAUCUUAGGAUGUAAAUUGGGCUCAUUUCCGACAAGGUAUCUUGGGCUGCCGUUAUCGAACAGACGACUAUGCAGAUCGGAUUGGUGGCCAAUCAUCAAUAGAGUCGAACGAAGGAUAGAAGGGUGGCAAGCUAAACUUCUUUCGACCGGCGGCAGGCUUGUACUGGUUAACUCGGUACUCUCGAACCUGCCGCUCUACUUCUUCUUUAUCUUCAGAGCACCUAAAUGGGUAAUUAAACGAAUCGAAGCUCUGCGGAGGGCAUUUUUUUGGAAAGGAAGAAGGGAAGUAACUGGAGGCCAUUGCUUGGUUCGAUGGAAAACGGUAUGUAGGAACAAAAGAGAUGGAGGGUUAGGGGUGAAAGACCUAGAGACUAUGAAUUUAGCGCUACUGGCUAAGUGGUGGCGGAGGUUUUUAUCGGAUAAGACAACGUUAUGGAGAUCUUUCUUACGAGGAGGAUCUUCCUUAGGGAAGGGGCAACUUUUAGACCAUACUCACAAUGGUGGCAAAGCGUCCUGUCAACCUGCGACAUUGUCCGGUGCGGGGUUUCCUAUAUGAUUGGUGACGGUAGUUCAGUGAGCUUUUGGAGGGACCGAUGGUGUGCACAACUCCCAUUGCAAUCGAUGUUCCCUCAUAUCUUUAACACUGUAGUCACGAAGAACUACCGAGUGCGGGAUUGUUCAGGCAUCUAUGGUUGGCGCUGGUGGAGUAUAUUGCACAGGUUUACACCAAGCUCUCCCGCAAAUGAGGAAUCAGUUCAGGGGCUUAAGGAACUACUAUGCACCAUGAGUUUAGUAGAUAACAGAGACGAAGUAAGAUGGAGAUGGAGUCAAUCAGAAGUAUUCACAGUUAAAUCAUUGUAUAAAUUCUUGCAGGAGGGGGGAAGGGGGUGAUAGAGACGAACUUGGCGCCACUUUGGAGGACCAAAAUUUCGCUUAAAAUUAAAAUUUUCAGCUGGCUGGUGGUGAUGCGGAGGUGUUAACGAAGGAUAAUCUCUCGAAAAGGGGAUGGUCGGGAGAGCACACUUGUGCCCUCUGUUUGGAUGAACCAGAGAAUAUUGAUCACUUUAGUACCAUGUGAUUUCACACUUUAUCGCUAGAAUACUAAAGUGAUAAAGUAUUAUAGCUUGCUGGUGGGUGGUUUGGGAGACUAGGAAUGGAGUCAUUUUUGCGAAGGCCCAGGCGGAUCCGAUCCGUGGCACUCAUAAGAUCAAACACCUGAUAGCUCAAUGGGGUAGUGCUGAUCCGUAGAUUUGUAGUUAGAUUUUGUAGCCUGUAUAGAGGUAUCAGUUGUACUUUGCACACAACUUCUGUUUCCCUGUUUUCCUUUUUUUUUUUGUUUUUUUUCUCCAUCAUCCUAGAGGCCUUGAUGCCUCACCCAUGUUGCUUAAUUCACCUACUGUAUGAAUGAAGCGGGUAGCAUGUUACAUUUUUCUCACAAAAAAAAAAAACAUAAAAGAAUUGUCUAACUUUUUUGGAUAGAAUAGAUAUAAUAUUUCCACCUAAAAUUAAGGGUAUACUUUGCAUUUCUUUAAAUAUGAUGAUAAUGGAGUUCUAGAAGCAGAGGUUGACCCAGUGUAAUUGUAUUAUAUAUGGAAACAAAAAAUUGAAAAAAAAAAAAGAGUAGGAUGAACGAGCUUAAUUGGACCUUGUCUGCUUGUACAACGACUUAAUCAGCCCAGUUUCCAUACUAAACAACUCAGCUGUAAUUUAUUUAGUAAAAGUUUUGUAGUUAAAUAUAAAAAUAAGGUCAUCUUAAAACUUACUUAAGUUUUUAUAAAUUAUUGGUUAAUUAAUUGUAAAUUGACUUAAUGGCACGUGUUUGUCGCAGCUAGCGUGUACAGUUGUUUGUACAGCACGGUAGUUGUGCCUAAUAUGUGGAGUUGGAUUUACAUCUCGUAUUAGUCAGAGUAUCAUUGUAUUAGAUUCAUGUCAAGUAAUAGUAGCACCUAGCACGCAUGGGAAGAGUGUUAGUAUAGAAUGCUUAAUUUUUUUAUAUUGUUAUAACAAAAAUAAAAAAGAUUAAAUUUGUUGGGUGUGAAAAUAGAAACAGAGUAUUGAGGAAGAGAAAACAAAAUAAAGUAUAACAAAUAUUACGUGGUUCGGUUACUGACUUACGUCCAAGGUCUAGGUUAGAGGAGAAAUUUUUAUUAUAAUCAAAGCAGAAUAUAAAAAAAAUACUCUGUCACACGAGAAUCCUAGCCUUCAAAAUAUACAUAUACUCUCUCUUAUCAACCACACCAAAUUAAUAAAAUAAAAUAUAUAUUUAUAUUAAUAAUUAAAAUUUCAUAAAACUAAAAAUAAUUUUAAUAAGAUUAGAUAUAAUCUUAACGGAUUGACUAGAAAAGAAUAGGAUUAGAAUAUCUUAGGACGCGUUUGGUUCGAAGUCAGAAUCGAAAUCGAAAUGACUCAUUACCUAAUUCUAUUUGAUUCGUUAUCUGAAUCGGAAUAAGAAUAAAUCAUUCCCAUUGUCGGUGUUUGAUUUAGAUAGAUAUAAAAAAUGUAAUCAAAUUAAUAUAUUAACUUUAUCUUUAUAGAGUCCGGCUACUAUACUCUUAUGAGUACGAUUGUUCUCGUACUCAUUGUUUUCGGUGAUAGAGCUUCCGAAUCAACGAUCCACACUGCUAAACGUUAUCUAGAGCAUUUAAAACGUCUAGAAAUCAAAUUUUAUAAUUUUUCGACAUCAUUUACCUUACGAUCAAAAAAUUAUGAUUUCAAAAUAUUACGAAAUUUAUUAUGAUUUCAAAAAAUUACGAAAUUUAUUUUCUAGACGAUGAACUUUAUUAUGAUUUCAAAAAAUUAUGAAAUUUAUUUUCUAGAAAUUCAAAUACUCUAAAUCAUAUUUAACGAAGUAGAUCGUCAAUUCGGAAGCUCCAUCAUUGAAAACAACGUAUGAGUAUGAAAUGCUCUAUACUUAUAAGAGUAUAGUAGCCCUAGUCAUCUUUAUAAUUUAUUAAUUUAAAUUGAAAUUGAAAAUUAAAUAUUAAAAAUUUACAUCAAAAUUUUGAAAUAAUGUCAAAAUUUUAAAUCUAUUUUUUUAAAAAAAAUUAAAUUUUGAAGUUGAGUGGAUAAUUCAAAAUAUAAAACUAAAUUUUGAUUUAUUCAAAUUCAAACUUAAAUUAAAAUUUUAAUUUUAAUUUGAAUCCAUAAAUUUAAUUUAAGUUUUAAAUAAAAUUUGAAUAAUUAAAAAAAUAAAAUACUUGAUUAAAUUUUAAUUUUUAAUUUAAAUUCAAAUUAAAAUUUAAUAUUAUAAAUUUAAUUUCUAAAUUCAAACUCAUAUUUUAGUUAAAAAAAUUAAAAAAAUAAAUUUAAUCCUAAUAAAUAUCUAUUCCGUUUAGAUUCAACUUCUAAUUCGGCUUCUAGGCCGGAUUGAAAAUAGAGGUGAUUGGACGAUUCCCAUUCCACUCGAAAAUUUGAAUCGGAAUGGAACUCCCGCAUACCAAACACUCACAAACAGAUUCAUUCAUUCCAAUUCCGAUUCCAUGAUGAAAAAGAAGCGAACCAAAAAUGAUCUUACAGUUUUACAAUCCGAGAUAUAUCUAACAUAUGUAAUGCGGAGAGCAUUUUCAUCAAUUACUUUGAGUUUUGGGAUUGUUUUGAGCCUUUUAAUAACAAACAAUUGUUGACACUCAUCGACCGUCUCCGGUGCAAGUGGCAAAGUGCUUGAUGGUUUAAAUAGAUAGAAAUUUUCAAAUUUUACUUUUUAUAAGACUAAUUUGUACUAAUAGACAAUAAAAUAAGCUAAAUUAAUUUUAAGCCGUUGAGUUUUUGUAUGAUUUAAUAAAAAAAAAAUCCGGUUGGUUUGAGUAAAAUCAGAUCGAUUUGCCGGCCCAAUGGUUGAACCGUCAGUAUGAGCAGUUUAAGGUAGUCUUUUGAUCGAUUCAUCUGGUUUAAAAAAUCAAAUCACACUACUUUAUAGACUGGAUCGACGGAACAGGUCGACAACCCAGUUUUUAAAUCAUUGAAAAAUUCAACCGCAGGCACAAGAAAUGUAAUCCAUUAGACCAAGAAAAUUCGAUAUUAGAAACUUUCAGUACACUCGGUCAUGCAGACUCAGUUUUCAUGCUAAAGCCCCGCCUAUAUAAACAUGCCUCCAAAACAAUUAUUGGCUCCACAACUACACCUCUCUGUAUCUCAGACCACAACAUGUAUGCCGUUAAACCUUUCGAAAAUAUGCUGCCAAUUCUGGUGCUCCUCCUCGCCUCGCUAGUCCCUCCGGCCAUCUCUGCCUUCGACGGUCUCCGCGUGGACCUGACCCAUGUCGACGCGGGCCGGAAUUUCACCAAAUUCGAGCUCCUGCAGCGCAUGGCGCUGCGAAGCAGAGCCCGGAGUGCGAUGCUCGUGUCCAAGGCCGCGGGGGGUUCUGCCAAUUCGAUCUCCGCAACUGACGUGCCUGUCUCGCCAAAUCCCUAUGAGUACACUAUCGGAGUUUCCAUUGGCACGCCGGCACAGCCUCUCCUGCUCAUGCUUGACACCGGCAGCGAUCUCAUCUGGACUCAGUGCCAGCCCUGCCUCUCGUGCACCAACCAGAGCUUCCCUUUGUACGAUCCUUCACAGUCAGCCACUUACUCGCCGCUUCCCUGCUCCAGCAAGCUCUGCCAGGCUCUUCCUCAAUCCGCCUGCCACGCGCAAUGCCUCUAUCUUUACGAGUACCUUGACAACUCAUUUACCGUCGGCACUCUCGCCAGCGAGGCCUUCACCUUUGGGUCCACUAACAACGUCACGGUCCCGAACCUCGGAUUCGGCUGCGGGUUUCAAAACCAGGGCAACUUCAAUGGGAUCGCAGGCUUCGGUCGUGGGCCCUUGUCUCUCAUCUCUCAGUUAGGAGUCGGAAAGUUCGGAUACUGCUUCAUUUCCUACGACGACGACGAUUCGAAGAGCAGCGCACUCAUGUUAGGAUCAGCUGCCAGUCUAAACGGCAGCUCUACUAACAUCCAGUCGACUCCGUUCGUUACGAAUACUUCACAGCCAACCUACUAUUACCUCUCUCUCGACGGUAUAACGGUCGGCACGAUCCGUCUCCCGAUACCGAGGUCGGCAUUUGCCCUGCAGCAAAACGGGACUGGCGGAGUGUUCAUAGACUCCGGAACGUCCUUCACGCAGCUAACCACGGUUGCUUACAAGCUCGUGAGGAGCGCCUUCUUGUCGCAGGUGAAGCUGCCCGUGGCUAACGGCACCGCGGAGGGCUUCGACCUUUGCUUCUCGCUGCCGUCGUCUCCAUCAGCAAAGGUGGACGUGCCGAAGCUGAUAUUCCACCUCGAAGGCGCAGAUAUGGAUCUGCCGCGCGACAACUACAUGCUCCAGGAUUCUACCAUGGGUUUAAUGUGCUUGGCGAUGUUCGAUUCCGGCAGCGAAAUCUCCAUAAUUGGUAAUUUUCAGCAGCAGAAUAUGCACAUAGUCUACGAUCUGGACGAUCAGAAGUUAUCUUUUGCUCCUGCGCAGUGCGAUCAGCUGUGAUUUUAAGUGAGAUUGUUUCAAUUGAAGGUCCUGUAUUCCAUAAGAAUCAAAAUAUAUAACCCUGUUAAUUACUUAAUCUUGUGAUAAGUUGGUGUUUCGCCACCUCAGGUAAUAAAAGAAUUACAUCCAUUCCUCCACUAAGUAAUUGAUGUGAAAUUCACUAAUUGGAAUAGGUCAUCAAAAAUCCUGCAUUUAUUUUUAUUAUUUUUCCUUUAGCAUUUAAUCAUUUUUCCAAAAAAAAAAAAAAAACAAUAACAGUAAUGCUCCAUUUUGGUUGGUAGAAGAUCCAAAGCUCGAUUGCUUACGUCGAGCAUUUGGUUCAGCUAUAGAGUAUAGUGCUAUUUUAUCAAAUUAUAGUCCCAAGUAAUAUGUUCAGAAUAUAAACCAUUUUAGUUUUUUAUUUAGAAUUUAUAAUCUUACUAAUUGAGAAUCCAUACGAGCCCACUCUCCAUUGCACGGGCCGUGGGACCCACUCCUCUCUCUCUCUCUCUUUCUUUUUUUUCUUUUUUUUUUCCCUUAUUUUUCUUUUCUUCCAAACCUUUCUUAUUUUGGGGUUGUGGGACGGUUUACAUUGUUAUUAAGAAUUAAUUGCACCAUUGAUCUCCAACUUUUGUACUAUUAUUAUUGGUUCCAAAUAUGUUUUUGUAAUUAAAUUUUCAAUCUGUUAAUUCCAUUGCGAUUACAUCCCAGCCGUUAAAAGAGAUGUUAAUUAAACAAAAUUGCCAUGUUACUUAACUUUCUUUUGCAUGUCAAUUUUGGUCUAUAAAUUUUACAUAUUUUUUACUGUAGAAAUAAAAAUUUACAUUUUAAAUUUUAAAUUCAAAAUUAAUAAUAAAAUUAAAAUUUUAAACCAAUCAGAAAUUAGAAUUUUAAAUUUAAAUUUAAAGUUUGAAUUUAAAUUGAAAUAUGAAUUUUAAAUUGAAUCUAACUUUUGAUUUCAAACUUUAAUUUUUUAUUUUGAUUUUAGUAUUUAAAUUUACAUUUAAAUUUUAAUUUUAAUUUAAAAUUUAAAUAUGUAAUUAGAAUUUAAAUUUAUAUUUAGAAAAAUUAGAACAACUAUUUUUGAGCUAUCAAGUUGAUUUUUUAUUACUUUUAAUCAUUUCAGAUACUUUGCUCCAUAAGAGGAGAUACAAGAUAAUGGGCCAUUAGAGAGCUGCAUCUGAUACAUUUUCUUUAUACUUUUAAUAAGAAUUAUGAUAAGAUCUUUUGCAAUGUAAUUAUGUUUUCUAUAUUAAAAUAUUCAUUCAUAAAAAUAAUAUUCAAAUAUGAAUUAAGACUUUUGAAAUUGUGACUAUUGACUUGCUUGAUUGAUAAUUUGAAUGGUUCUUUAUAUUUUUGAAAUUAACAAAUUUGUAUCUUGAAAUGAGCGAAUUUAAUUUUUGCAUUUCUGUUUCUUCAAUGAUUUUUUUAUAUUGGUUUUUUUAUCUCCAGUUAAGUAAUAUUUUUUAGUUCAUAUGAGUGAUAUUUGCUAAUUCGCAUGCUAUUAUUUUUAAUCUCGAGCUAGAGAAUUUAUUUUUCCUAAUAUAUAAUAUUAAAAUAUUUAUUUUGGUAGUUGAACCUUUUUGCAAUAUAAAAAAUAUCUAUUUUGAUUUUUAAAUACCCUUUGAUUUGUUUUAUUUUUGGUGCUUCUUGUAAUUAUCUAUUGAUUUCUUCAGUAAUCUGAAAUUCAGAAAUCAAGUACUUUAGUUAACAAGAGUUUCCCUUCAUUAUCAUCGACGACAAUGGAGACGCUUCCACCAAGACUAUCAAAGAUAGUGCUUUCACUCCAAUUAAUUUUAUAAUAUUUUUUAUUUAUAAAUUCUAUGUUGAUGAUAAUAGAAAAUUAUUAUUCAUUUUUUUAAUAUUACAAUGAGCUUUUCUUUUAUUUUAACUGAUUUAUUCAUUUUAAUUAUUUGGUUUAGAUAUUUUUGAAAAGAAAUAUAUUUAAAUUUUUUUUGAAUUUUUAAUUAUUCAAUACUGAGAUAAAUAAUAUUUGAAUAUAUAUAUAUAUAUAUAUAUAUAUAGUAUAUUAGUAGUAGUAUAUAUAUAUAUAUAUAUAUAUAUAUACUACUUAUAAAAACGUGAGUUUUAAAUUUUUUCUCUUUCCAAAAAUGCCCCUAUCUUUUCUACUAAUAUUUUCAUGUCCAGUAAUUUUCAACUAUUCGUUUCAAAUAAUUUUUCAAAUAAUAAUUUAUUCUCAAAUAUAAAUAUUAAGUUUUUACCAUUGGAUCUCAUCCAACGAUUAUAAAUAAAAGUAGCUUUUCUUGAUAAAAAUACCCUCAAUAUCCGUUAUCUCCUAUCUACGCGUUUACAAAUAUCUACGCAUUUUCUCAAACAUAAUUUCCGCCGUAACUUAAAAUAUCCGUUAUAUCCUAUCCACAGCGUUUCUUAAAUAUUUUUGUUUCUCACACGUAAUAGCACCAAUCACAUAAUAAAUAAAAUUAAAUUUAUUCUAUCUACACAUUUUCUCAAACGCUUCAUAAAGUAAAAUAUUCAUUAUCUCCUAUUUAUGUGUUUCUCAAAUAUUAUAUUUCUCACACAUAAUGCGCCAAUCACGUAGAAUAUUACUAGAAAGAUUUAAUACCCACCUUACAGUCACGUAGAAUAUUAUUAGAAAGAUUUAAUACCCACCUAAGCAAAACUAAAUUGUUAAUUAAAUAUAAUUUUACAUUUUUAAAUUUUUUUAGUAAAAUAUUCAAAAGUAAUACUCGCUAAAAUAUUUUACGUGUUUUUCAAAUAUAGAGCAUAUCUUAAUGCACUCGCACAUAAUAUCUAUAUUAUCUAAUCUUUAUCUCAUCAUAAUAUUUAUUCAUACACAGAAUAUAUUUUUUUGAGACAUAUAUUUUCUUAGUAAUAUCUUUUUAAUUUUCAACUAUAUUUUUCUCAAAUAUUUUUUUUAGUAAUAUCCUUUCUCAUAUGUCCCCAUCGUUAGCACCAGUAUAUCAUAGCACAUCGUCAUCAUCGAUACCGGCACAUUGUCACUUUCACCACCUUCGUCAUAGUUAGAGAGGUAUUUUGAUCCUACCUGAAAAUUUUUUAUUUUUUUAAUGUGCAUUUAUACUAUUUCAGUAUAUUUUUUUGAUAUUUUCUUAUUUUUACGUAUACUACGUUCAUCAAAUAUAAAGCAUUUAUUUUUUUAAUAAUAUCAUUUUUCAUUUUUAUCUAUAUUUUCUUAUAUAUUCUCAAAUAUUUUUUUUAGUAAAUCCUUUUUUAUUUGUCACUGUUGCCGGCACCAGCACAUGGUCAUCGUCCUCCUCAUCGUCAUCGUCAUCACCGAUGCCGGCACAUUGUCGCCUUCAUCACCUUCGUCACAGGUGUUUUGAUCCCAGCUAAAUUUUUAAUAUGCUUUUAUACUGUUAUAGCAGCUUUUUAGUAUUUUCUUAUUUUUAUCUAUACGUUUCUCAAAUAUAAAGUAUAUAUUUUUUUAGUAAUAUCUUUAUAAAGUAUAUUUUUGUAGUACCCCUGAAAUUCAGCAUUUCAGGCUUGUCGACAGCUCUGGAGAGUGUCGGGACAAGUCCGAGUCCUGUUGGUGCGAAAUAGACGCAAACCGGACUCAAUACGACGCAAGAGCAGGAAGUUAGUAUUGGAAUCUGCAAAUUGCAGAUUUUCUGCAUUCUGUACCGGUACAAAAGAGUGUACCGGUACCUCUAUAUAAUUUUUCUGCGCAACUGCUCUCAGGUUUACCAUCUCUGUUGCAUGUACCGGUACAACAUCGAUGUUGUACCGGUACACCGGGGUAGGUAAAGGGUGUUUUGGUAAUUUCUUACCUCGUGGACUUCACCCUUAUCCCUUCCUUCUAUAUAAUGUUAGAGAGGCAGAGAGAGCAUUUCGGCUGCUGCUCCUCUCUCUCUCUAGGGUGGAUCCGUAUGGUUGAGGGAGGCUUCGGGUGGAGUUUGGAUCGACGCCGACGUUGCGCCGGGGAGCUGUUCGAGCACACGAGUGUCGUAGUUGCUGCGUUGGGAGGCCGGGCGAGCGUGUGAUUUCGCUGUUUCGACUUCGCGCCGGAUUUGGAGUAGCUUUCGAGGUGGGUUAAAGUGAUGUUACCGAAUUCUACAGGUUUCCUCCUAAUGCUAUAUAUGUCAACUGCAUGUAUUUGUAGCUUUGUUUAGUACUUUGUUUAGCUCAAUUCUUGGAAUUUCAUGCCUAUGAAUUGGAAUUGGAGCUUAGAAAAAUUAGCUAAAUAAUGCAUGUUGGAUUUGGAUUUGACUUAGGAGAAAACUGACGUUUUUACACCGCCAAAUGAGCAAACUACCAGAUUUAGGUUUAGAAGCCGUAAUUUGUCAGUAUCGACGCAGUUUGUGGGUGGUGGAUACCUAAAAUAGUGUAGAAUAUUUUUACACUCGUGCUGAGGUGCCGAGUGUAUUUUUAGAGCAGUGUUUAGGCUGUUCCGAAUUAUCGGGUGCCGUCGAGGUUGACGGUGGACCCAGAUUACUGUUUUUGCAUCAGAUUGUGCCGAGAACACGUGAGUUCAAUUGUUAGACCCUGUUUACUUGACUAUAGCCUGUGAGAGCCUGAUUGAGCUCGACAGAGACACGCUUGUAUACUCGGUUGGGUAGCGCCCACGAGUGCCACUCCGGAGUUGGGCUUUGUGCUUUUGUGUUGGUGUUGUUUAGUCCUGUUUGAACUUGCUCUCCAUUGACGAUCUGGUUUGAUGUCAGAUUGUGUAGUUUCGACAGGCGAGACGGGUGUGUUCACAAUCCCUAAUGCGAUUGGGUCAGGCUUUACUAUUUCCUACAGAGUGUUGGUGUUCGACCGAGAUAGUAUAGGUGCAUAUAGCUGUAGAUGUAUUACAGCUUUCUUACUAUACUUGUUUGCAUCUGUAGACUUAGUCGGUGAGCCGUUGAAGUCGGUAGCGGUACCCACUAAGGACUACUUCUUUUUGCAGUAGUUCUCACGCCCAGUUGUUGAAACCUUUUGCAGAGCCUUCUUCUUUGGCUGCUGCUGCUGUUGAUUCGGACCGUGGAAAGGGAGUCGCGAGUUAGAUUCCUUCCCAGUUGCUGCUGAGUUAGAGUAUACCAGCUAUAGGUAGUGGUAGUUUUUGAAUUCAUAUACAUACUUUUAUUGUUUCUCGCUGGAGCCAGUGUUUUGUACACCAGGAUGCUUGCAUGUAUAAUGAACUUCUAUUUUUAUAUAUAUCUUUUUUUCCUAGCAGCUCUAUACUACUAGUUGUAGUAUUGUUUGAUUACAGGUACAGCUGUCGUUUCGUAUACAGGAAAAGUUUCUUUGUAUACGGCGGAUUUGUCGGCGUGCCCGGGAAAACGAGUAAUCCGGGGCGUGACAAUUUUUUUAGUAAUAUCUUUUUAAAUAUUUCCUUUAUGACAGGUGCUAAUCUUUUCUCACAUAAUGUGCACGUUUUUUCAAAUAUUAUGAAAUACAUAUGAAAAAUAGUUAUACUAUAAAUUAAUUAAAAAUAUAUAAAAUUUAUUUAGAGAUAAAUUAAAGUUAAAAAAUAAUUAAAUAAUAAACAUAUACCACCAAUAACGAUUUAAAAUUUAAAAUAUAAAUAUAAAUAUAAUUUAAAAUUAGAUGUGACAUUUUGAAUUAAGAAUAAAUUAAAAUUUUUAUACUUUUAGAUUAAAAUAUAUAUCCAAUCUUCUAAAUCUCCUUUCUGACGAGUGACACUUGCUACCUAUCAUCUCAUCAUAAUUUUAAUACCUACGCGUUUCUCAAAUAUUGAGCCUAAUUAACAUAUAAUAUUUUCACUAUUUAACCUUUCAAUCUCCUUAUUCUUAUCCCAAUCUUAUAUAUACUUAUUCAUUUUAUUCAUUUUCAUACGUAAUAACCGUCACCUAUGCAUUUGUGCCGACACAACUUCGUUCUCACCUUUGCUAGCAUGACGUCGUUGUCCUCACAUUGCAUGUAUAUCGACAGAAGUUCACGAAUCAUGUCGGCGUUGUUGAUGCUACCGACAUGUAAUCGAUGGUCGAGAUACAUGCGUAUGCGCAUUAUUGGUGGUCGGCAAUCUAUGCGUUGACAAUUCAUAUAAAUAUCAAUCUAAAAUACUCUCCCUCCUCCUAUAUCUAUUGUUAAUGUUAUUUUUUUUUUGGAUUUUUCUUUCUUUUCUAUUCAUAAUAUAUCUUUUUUUUAAGUAAUUUAAUUUUUAGUUAGAUUUACUUUUUUUUAAUUAAAGAUCUCAAAGCCUCAGCCUAAUUAUUUUUCUUUUCAUUAUCUUUAAUUUCUUCCUAAACAAGUUUCAUAAUUAAAUUAAAAUUAUAUUUCCGCUUUUUAGUUAACAUAUUUUAAUAAUAUGAUUUUUCUUUACAUAUAAUAUACGAAUUAUGCUACUAUACUAUCAAUAGUACCAAACCCUUGAUACUAUUGAGUUUUCGGCCGUUGGAUAAAAAGAUGUGCGGUUAGAAUGAUAGUGGUCCCUGGUUAAAUUGAUAGUGGUCCCCUAGGGUUGAGUGGGUGGUUGGUUUAAUAGUAUAAUCUAACGGGUGGAAAUGAUCAAAAGGUAAAUUUAACGAUAGAAAACUCAAUAGUACCAAGAGCUUGGUACUAUCGAUAGUAUAAUAGCCGAACUCUAUAAUAUACUAACAUCUUCUAUUAAACUUUAAUAUAUAAAUAAAUACUACAUUAAUUGGCUAUCACCUGCACAUACCCAAUGUAUACAAAAGUAUACCACACCUCUAAAAAGCUCAUGAAUUUAAAUUAGAAUUCAAUUUAUAUUCUAUGAAAUUAAAAAAAAUUACAAAAUUCAUAAAUAUAAUCAUGUCUCUAUGACAUUAUAUAUUUCGAGCAUCUACUUACCAAAUUCAUCAACUUUUUUUAUAUUGUUAAUUUUUAUGUUCAUUUAAUAUCUAGAUAUUAUGAUUUUAAAAAUUUAUAAAUUUUAAUGUAUAAUUUUUUAAAAACAAAUGUUAAAUAUUGAAUGUCGUGUAUAAAAUAUGUACAUUGAGUACAAGAAAAAACUUCUCAAAAUAUGAACGAUAUGAUUCAAAAUUCUCCUAAAAUUGUAUUAAUAUUUUUACAAUCUUCUUCAAAUCAAUUUGUAUAUAUAUAUAUAUAUAUAUAUAUAUAUAUAUAUAGAGAGAGAGAGAGAGAGAGAGAGAGAGAGAGAGAGCUAGGCUGGUAUACUAUCGGUAGCACGGAGGCUUCCGUGCUACCAAGUUGUUUUCAAUGAUGCAGUUUUCAAAUCGACAAUCGGCUCCGCUAGACUUGAUCUACACUAUUAAAAGUAUUUGGAAACUAAAUUUCAUAAUUUUUCGGCAUUAUUGGGUUAGUGAUCAAAAGAUCUCAAAAUUGACAAUUUUAAUGGUAGAUGUGAUGCGUUUGUGAAUUUAACGGUGUAAAACACUCCAAAUCUGAUGAAAUUUUUAUAGAAAAUUUUUUUCAUUAUUUAGAGAAAGAUCAAUACCUCUGAUCUUAAAUUUAAGUCUUUUAUCAUCAUUUUUUAUGAGAUUUUUAUUUUCAGCCAUUUAUUUUUAAACUACUCGUUUGAUAGGUAAAUGAUGCUGAAAAGUUAUGAAAUUUAGUUUCCAAAUACUUUUAAUAGUAUAGAUCAAGUUUAACGGAGCCGAUCGUCAAUUUGGAAGCCGCAACAUUGAAAACAACUUGGUAGCACGGAGGCUUCCGUGCUAUCCAUAGUAUACCAGUCUAGCUCUAUAUAUAUAUAUAUAUAUAUAUAUAUAGAGUUGGACUGGGCUACUAUUAGUAGCAAAAUUCUAUUGUUGCUACCAAUUUUUUAGCAUUUGGAUCAAUUCUUUUCAUCAUUUCUAACCAUUGGAUUAAAUACUAUAACCCAGUGGGGACCAUUCAACCCUAGGGGACCACUCAAUUCUAACUGACUAAUAUCAUCCUAAUCCUACAAUUUUUCAUCCAAGGGUUAAAAACUUGAUAGCAAAAAGAGGAUUUUACUAUUAAUAGUAUUCCAGUCUAAUUAUAUAUAUAUAUAUAUAUUUUAGGGUAUACAAAAUUAAUGAUAGUAAUAGAUGAUAAGUGAAUUUAUGUUUUUCGCUAAUUAUGUAUUAUAGAUUAUUUUUUUAAUAUAAAUAAAUUUUAGGGUAAACUUCAAAUACCCCCUGUGGUUUCACACUUUCUCACUUUUGUACCAUGUGGUUUAAGUGUAUCAAGUUUGCCCUUGUGGUUUCACACUUUCUCACUUUAGUACCUUGUGGUUUACACCAUUUCUCUUUGGGAGAAAGCGGAGAGGAAGGAGGAAGAAGAAAGAAAGAGAAAUGGUAUACAUUUUAUCCAAAGAGUGUAAUUUUUAUUCCAAAAAGUAUAAUUUCUGUCUCAAAAAGUGUGACUUUUAUUUAAAAUAGUACAAAAAAUUUUUGAAACAGUGUAACUUUAUUUUAACAGCACAAUUAUCACGCCCCGGAUUACACUUUUUCCGGGCGCGCUGACAAAUCUGCCGUAUACAAAGGAAUUUUCCCUGUAUACGAAGCGAUAGCUGUACCUGUAAAUCAAACACUACUACGAACAGUAGUAGAGAGCUGCUAGAGAAAACAGAAGCUAAACAAACUGAGUUUCAUAUACAUAGUCCAAAUCCAAAAUACAAAGCUACUCGCACUGGCGAGUUAAGUCCACUAUGUACAUAAACUCGAAACAAAACAUCUAUCUGCAGUAGGGGCACCUCUAGCUCAGCACGUCGGGUAGGGCUCUAACUCGCGAGGCCCUUGCCUCGAUCCUGAUCCGCGGAAGGCGCAGCAGCCGAAACCUGUGGCUCUGCAAAACAGAGGUAACAACUGGGCGUGAGAACUACUGUGAAAACAAAUAGUCCUUAGUGGGUACCGCCCAAAACAAUAUCGGUCCACCCACUAAGUCUACAGAAGGGAGCAAGAAUAGUCAGAAAAGCAGGAAAUAAACUCUACCGCUAUCGAUCACUACACUAUCAUGCUCUACACUAACCAACUGUAGGAAAUGUCCAAUCUGACCCAAUCCAAUCGGGACUGUAAGCAUACCCGUCCCCGGGACUGUGAAUACACCCGUCCCUGCCCCGUUGCGACUAUCGGGCUCUAUCCACACUAACUGGUCCGUGGAGAGCAAGUCCAACUGGCAUGAGCGACACCAACGCAAAAGCACAAGCCUGACUCCGGAGUGGCACUCGUGGGCGCUACCCAACCGAGUAUGCAGCGUAUCUCUGUCGAGCUCAAACAGGCUCCAACUAGCCAAAGUCAAGUGAACAGGGUCAAAACAGGUCUACAAACCAAACCCACGUGCCCUCGGCACAAUCUGUGACCAAAACAAGAAUCUGGGUCCACCGCUAACCCGAACGGCACCCAACGACCCGAAACAGCCUAAACUCUGCUGAAAAAUAAGCUCGGCACCCCAGCACGAGCGUAAAUGCCUUCUAAACUACCCUAGGUAUCCAUCGCACUGAUACUGCAACGAUAUAAUCGAACCACGGCUCCUAGAGCUAAAUCUGGUAGUUUAAGCAUAUGACGGGUCAAAACGCAGGUUUUCUCCUAAGUCAAAUUUCAAGUCCAACAUGUAUAAUUUAAAUAUUCAUUUCAGCAUGCUUCUACAUUUAUAUUACAUUCAAGAUGCUAAUCGAUGAAUUAAAGCAUGAUAUACAAGAAUCGAACUAUACAUAUCGACUAAACACGCACUUAGGAGCGAAACCGAUGAUAACCCACCUCUAAUGCAAAUCCUGGCAGCAAUAGGGUCACUCAGCUACGGAACACUCUGUCGGAACCAGGCGCAUCUGCUAUCAGCCAGCAAAGGUCCACAAUCAGGAUCUAAACAUCAAUUCCACUAAAAUCCACUAAAAAUUCCAAUUUCAGCACUUAAGCUUGGAUUUCUCUCCACUCCAAUGUCAAAACUCACCUAAUGAUCUCCAAUUCGGGUGAGGACAGAUCCAAAUCCAGCCACUACUGAUGGGUGAUCAAUCUCAGGUCCAAAAUCCCACUGCCAACAAAGAUAGCAUCAAGAAAAGCUCAAAAAUCCCAAUUUCAGCAAAUAGUCAACAACAGUCCAGAAAAACUUGAGUUUGACUGAGCUAACCUUCACCAAAUUCUGCGAGAUAGGGCUUCGUGGAUUCCUCUGAGAGUCAAAAAUCCAGCAAACCAAGUUUCAUCGGAAUCCGAUCUUCUUACGUCGCGCACGAGCCAAAACACUGGAGGUCGUCGCUGAAGAACUGCAGAAUCAGCACCUUGCAAUUCUUGGAGAUGUGGAUCUUGAUGCAAAAUGGAAAGAUUGGAGGGAUUUGGGAUCAAAAUCUAAGUUCUCUGUGAAGAACAGGUAAAAGAGCUCAAUAGGGACGCAUACAGGGUAUUUAUAGGCUACUGGAGGGAUAAGAUAAGCCCCAAGAGAAAACAGCUGCUAACUAGAGUUCAUGCAGAAACGGGCGUUUCUGGGCGCCCGGAACCAUGUUCUGGGCGACCAGAACAUCCCGACUGCACAAACCGGGCUCCUCGGACUCUCCGCUCGCGGUGUGCUGCGCCCGUAAAUGGCUCCGGCGGAACUCACCUACCGCUUGCCACGCGUCGAAGCAAGCGAUAUUCACGAUGUCGAAUUUCCGGACCCACAUCUGGGCGCCCGGAACAUGGGAUCCGAAUUGGCUUCCAGUUUCAGUUAAAUUCAACACUCGUUUUUGGGCGACCCUAAACAUGUUCUGGGCGCCUGAAUCUGGCAAAACUCCAGUUUUGCUUAUUUGAGUGCGUCGAGUCCAAUUCUGCAUCCAAUUCAUGCUGAAUUGACUCCGACUCAGUCCGACACUCUCCAGAGAUGUCGACCAGUCACUAAUACUGAAGCCAACCCUAUCCAAAGCUCAGGAACACUACAACAAUUUUACCUUUUUCUUCCUUCUUCUAUUAAUUUUGGUUUUUCUUGUAGGAGAAAAAAAAAAUUUUUGUUUUUUUUUUCUUUCUACAAUUUUUUUUUGGGUCACGACCUCUCCUCCUCCCUCACCGGCGUGCUUCUCGGCUCCGAGAAGCACUUCAUCUUCAUCCCCAACGGCGGCGGUGGGGACGGCAGGUAGAAAAUCUGCUGCAGUGGAGGUAGAGGGCGAAGGCGGAGGAAGAGGACACGGUAUUGUCCUCGCUAUCGUCACAGACGGCCGCAGAGGCGGUGGAGGAGGCUCAGAGAGAGAAAAAAAAAAAGAAAGUCGCAGCACGGACUCGGUGAGGUCGGAGGCGAGAAGGGUGGGGGGUGCGUGGGCGAGGGCGUGAGGGCAAGAAGGGUAGGGGGUGCGCGAGCGAGGGCGUGAGGGGCAGAGACGAGGCGGGCCGUUUCAGCCUUUGCCUCCGCUACCUUCUUCAGAGAAAAAAAAAAAAAAAAACGAGAGAAAAAAAAGGAGAGAGAAAAAGAUAUAAGAAUAUUUUGGUUAGUUUGUUGAAAAUUUCGACUGAAUUUGCAAAAUCAAAAAAUACGGCCUAAUUUUGCAAAAGCUCAAAACUUUUUUAGGACCGUAUAUGAAGUAUUACUCCAUUUCUAAAUGAUAAUCCCCAAAUAGUACAAGAUAGCUAAAAAGUUAUAGUCCUUUCUUUUCCCUUCACUAAUACAAACAUAAAUCACCUCUACAUAUAUUAGUAUCAAAUUAAAGCUAAUGCUACCAUUUAGAAACCAAACUAAGUCACAGCUGAUCACAUUGAGCAUGAGCAAACCCCAACCCAUUCUUCUCCAAAUCAUAUUCGAUCCACGUAUUUUGCUGCUGUAUGUUCCCUAUUAUAGAAACUAACAUCACUCCACUUCGACUACGAUGCAAUUAAGCACAUUAAUCUACCGCCUUCGUCUAAAUCAACCACGUAAUUAUCUCGCAGUACGUCCAUAUCCGCACCUUCGAAAUGGUAUAUAAGCUUGGGCACUUCAAUUCACAAAUAAGAAGAUAUGGACAUUGAGAAACAGGCACCAAACGUUCCUGUAGAGUCGUUGAUGACACUGAGCUUUAACUGAGAUGCAAAUGCGGAUUUUAUCCGAUCGUAUGCGAUCCGGUUCAAUCAGUUAAAGCCGUUGCCAGAAUCUAUUAUUACUCCACUAUUGCCGGUUUCUUUUAUAGUGAAUGCCGACUUUGGUAUUUUUAAGCUUUUUUUUCCGACCGCUAUUCCGUUGAGUGAGAGGUAGUACAAGUUUGGCCUUAGCCGGUUUUUGAUUAGUGGAGUGGUUUUGGAGGAUCCACUUCGGAUUCUUUUUGGAUCCGCUAAGGCCCCAAGUAGUAGGGGACUUCUUUUGUAGUCGUGUAUGGCAGUGAAGCAGUAAGAGAACCUUUUAAUUUUUAGCUGAGAGAUUAAUGACAAGGGUACGCGGCCAAAACCGGCAAUGCCGAAUUCAAUUAAGAAUAUCCUUUGGUUCAAGAUCCCACGUGUUCGAACCCGAGACGGGGGAUUUUGACCUAACCUUCCUAAAAAAAGUUUGUCAUUGUUAAUGAGUUAAUUUUGCACCGGUUUGAAUGCUUGAUUUUUAACUUCUCAGUGCGAUUGCUAAAUUAUAUCUAAGCAAAUCUGUUCAAUUUGCAAAACAUUGUUAUUAGCUAGAUGCAAUUGUUUAUAUACUCCUGAAAAGUUCCCGACUUUCUGAUUUACCUCUCUUAAAAGCUAAUAUUAAAAAUACCCUUUCUACGUUCCAACCUAUUUCUAACAUACUCUAGAGUUAAAAUCUGUUAAUGAAUUUUAUUAUCUCUGUAAAAUUACUAUUUUGCCCUUUCAAAUAUACUUUUCCACCAUCACUGACUUUCUUAUUUGUCCUUAAAGUCAGGGGCACAACAAGUAUUUUGACUUUUGGUCUUUUCCAAUAUACCCUACUACCGUCACCAACAUUUCUUAUUUGCCCUUAAGUUAAGGACAAAAUUGGUAUUUUAAUUUUUUUUAAUUGUGGUAUAUAUUUAACUCAUGUUUAACCCAAGUUAACUUAACAGGAGAUAACUGCGGAGGUAUUUUGCAAUAACGGUAAAACAUAUGAGGGGUAUUUUAGAAAAAAAAAAGGUAAAUCGAAUAUUUUUAAACGUAUAAGGGGUAUAUAGUUAAUUAUCCCUUGUUAUUAUAUAUAAAAAUAAAUAAAAUAAGUUUCUUUCAUAUUUUGUCAUUGCACCUAAUGCACUCUACUUACAAUUCUAAAAAUCUAAAGUAGUGCGUGUUUUGGAAGUAUUACUUGGUGUCGAAUCGUGGAUGCUAACUAUUAAUCCCAAAAGCUCAAGCUGUUAGAAAUAUGCAGUCAAUUUACUUAAAGCAUAUAGAUGCAACGUCCACAGGUCUCGAUUAUAACUCAAUCUAAUCGGUCUCACGUCAUUUCGAACAUGACUCGGUCCAAUCCAAUCUUACGUCAUUCCGAACAUGACUGAGCCCAACCUGGCCUUCUGCCACAAGGCAGAAUGUUGGCACAUUUAAGUCAAUACUUGGGAUUAUACUUUGAUCACAUAACACUAUACUCGCUCUCCAAUACUUUUUUGUUUUUGGCCGGUCCUCUUUGAGGCCUAACUGCCUCGAUUUGUAUAGUUAAAUUUAUUAUCCUAAUAAAUAAAGCAGAUGGCGUGCUAUUUUUCUCUUAAAAAAAAAAAUACUAUACUCUAUAGCACAAAAUGCUCGACAUAAGCAAUCGAGCUUUGGAAUAUCUACUAACAGGGCUAUAUAUAUUUUUUUUAUUAUGAAAUACAGGACCUUUCAAUUGAAACAGACCUUCAAUUGAAACAAUCUCACUCAUUAAUUAAGAUUACAGCUGAUCGCACCGCGCAGGAGCAAAAGAUAACUUCUGAUCGUCCAGAUCGUAGACUAUGUGCAUAUUCUGCUGCUGAAAAUUACCAAUUAUAGAGAUUUUGCCGCCGGAAUCGAACAUCACCAAGCACAUUAAACCGACGCUGGAAUCCUGAGGCAAGUAGUUGUCGCGCGGCAGAUCCAUAUCUGCGCCUUCGAAGUGGAAUAUCAGCUUCGGCACGUCCACCUUUGCUGAUGGAGACGACGGCAGCGAGAAGCAAAGGUCGAAGCCCUCUGCGGUGCUGUUAGCCACGGGCAGCUUCACCUGUGACAAGAAGGCGCUCCUCACGAGCUUGUAAGCAACCGUGGUUAGCUGUGUGAUGGACGUGCCGGAGUCUAUGAUCACUCCGCCAGUCCCGAUUUGCUGCAGCGCGAAUGCCGACUUCGGUAUCGGUAGACGGGUCGUGCCGACCGUUAUACCGUCGAGAGAGAGGUAAUAGAAGGUUGGCCGUGAAGGAUUCAUAAUGAACGGAGUCGACCGGAAGUUAGUAGAGCUGCCGUUUAGAUUGGCAGCUGAUCCUAACAUGAGUGCGCUGCUCUUCGAAUCGUCGUCAUCGUAGGAAAUGAAGCAGUAAGAGAACUUUCCGACUCCUAACUGAGAGAUGAGAGACAAGGGCCCGCGACCGAAGCCGGCAAUCCCGGAUUCGUUGUUGAAGAUGCCCCCGUUGAGAAACCCACAGCCGAACCCGAGGUUUGGGACCGUGACGUUGUUAGCGGACCCGAAGGUGAAGGCCUCGCUGGCGAGAGUGCCGACGGUGGUUGAGUUGUCGCCGUAACUGUAAAGAUAGAGGCAUUGUGCGUGGCAGGCGGAUAGUGGAAGAGCCUGGCAGAGCUUGCUGGAGCAGGCGAGCCGCGAGUAGGUGGAUGACUGUGAAGGAUCGUACAAAGGAAAGCUCUGGUCGAAGCACGAGAGGCAGGGCUGGCACUGCGUCCAGACGAGAUCGCUACCAGUGUCAAGGAUGAGCAGAAGAGGCUGUGCCGGCGUGCCGAUGGAAACUCCGAUGGUGUACUCACCGGCAUUCGGCGAGACAGGCACGUCAGUUGUGGAUAUCGAAUUGGCGGAACCCCCCGCGGCCUUGGGCGCGAGCAUCGCGCCCCGGGCCCUGCUUCGGAGCGCCAUGCGCUGCAGGAGCUCGAAUUUGGUGAAGUUCCGGCCCGCGUCGACGUGGGUCAGGUCCACGCGCAGACGGUCGAAGGCAGAAAUGGCCGGAGGGACUAGCGAGACGAGGAGGAGCACCAGAAUCGGCAGCAUAUGUUCAGAGGGCUUAACAGCAUACAUGCUGUGGUCUGAGAUGCAGAGACUUAUGUUUUGCGAAGCUUACACUUGUUUGGAGGAAUGUUUAUAUAGUGGGGGAUUUAGCAAGAAUGAGUCUCCUUUAUGGCGAAUAUUGUUGAAUUAUUUAGUGGUGAACUUUUCUUGGUCUAAUACAGGGACUUGCUUUACGCGCUAUUGUAUAUAUUUCCAAAUUUUGGGUCUCAAUCGCCCUAUAUAUUUCCAAAUUUUGGGUCUCAAUCGCCCUAGUGAAGAGGAUUAGCACGAACACAUUAUACAUAUCUUGACACGGCAAAAUUAUGCGUGGCUAUUAUUUUUUUCGUUUAUUUUAUUUAAAGGGAUAAUUACUUAUAUACCCUUCAUGCGUCUAGAUUGGUUACUAUAUGCAGUUUUUCCUUUCUAUUAUGCCUGAUUAGUCCUAGUGAGAAAGUCGGUGAUGUUGGGGCCGAACCCACUGGGAACUUUGUUGUAAUUCUCACCCCACUAUUUUCACAGAGCCGGGACCGAGCGAGCCCGCGAGCGACCGCGGUAAAGGUAUCGCGCCUUAGUCAAAAGCCACCCCAGUCAGGCUUGUAUUUUGUUAGUAGUUACCCUUUUAUCAUCUUUUGUACUAGAUGAUUAAUGAUGUAAAGAAAAGAAGUAAAGCUCUCUUUUAAGGUAAAUGUGAUGUAAUAAAAAAAUGAUGUAAUAAAAUGUAAGGAAUUUGAAAAUGUACAAGUUGGACUUGAUGUAUAUGAUAUAAAUUGAAUCAUAGUACAAGUGAAUGUUUAGUUUCCUUUCUUUCACUCAUGAUUAUUGCCUACCCUCGUAUAAGCCGUAUUUGUAUGUUUCCGCUAGUGCACUUCUUGUUUGAAAUUGUACAUGUGAUGAGCCUUGGGCGGACAGAAGAAACUCUAUCUGUUCGGCGUCUGUUUGACGUGCUCGGGCUAGCCCAAAUCGGUAUCAGUCCCAGGGCGUGACAUUCACGUUUUAUCAAGUUCUUAUAGUCUAGGUCAUGUUUAAUUACGCUGAUCGUCGAUUUAGAAACCCUUUCACCGAAAAAAAUGCCUAUACCUUCUUAUUUGUGAGUCGAAGUGCAUGCCCAAGCUUAUAUACCAUUUCGAAGGUGCGGAUAUGGACGUACUGCGAGAUAAUUACGUGGUUGAUUUAGACAAAGGCGGUGGAUUAAUGUGCUUAAUUGCACCAAAGUCGAAGUGGAGUGAUGUUUCUAUAGUAGGGAACAUACAGCAGCAAAAUGUGUGGAUGGAAUAUGAUUUGGAGAAGAACGAGUUGGGGUUUGCUCAUGCUCAAUGUGAUCAGCUGCGACUUUUUUUUUUUAUUAUUUGAGAAAUAGAUAGCAAGCUGCCUACUUCAUUCAUUAACCUAAAUGAACUGAGCGUAUAUGUUGGAAGCAGCUAGGGCUUCCGAAAGAACAAGCUAAAGGGGCAAAAAAAAUAGGCGAAAGAACAGACUAAAGCCGAGAAACAGAGACGAAAAGAAAAGCAAAGUAAAAAGGGAAAGAAAGUACAUCAUGUCAGAGCACUGCAGCCCAGUUACUCGUGAGGUGUUUGACGUAAUCUAGCGACCGGGAAGCGUUGCGUAACAUUCCACCAAAGAUAGUUCCUAUCCCUUCAGACCACCCAUCAGAUUGCCGCCAGAUAAGUCAAGCCUUGUGACCUCUUCCACUCGACAGGGCUGGGAUCAGCUGUGACUUAGUUUGGUUUCUAAAUGGUAGCAUUAGCUUUAAUUUGAUACUAAUAUAUGUAGAGGUGAUUUAUGUUUGUAUUAGUGAAGGGAAAAGGAUUAUAACUUUUUAGUGAUCCCGUACUAUUUGGGGAUUAUCUUUUAGAAAUGGAGUAAUGCUUCAUGCACGGUUCUAAAAAAGUUUGUUAUUGUUAAUGAGUUAUGUGUAGAAAUAAAUAAAAUAAAUUUCUUUUAUAUUUUGUCACUAUACUUGCACAUUUUACUUAUAAUUUUAAACAGAAACUAAAAUGGUAUAUAUUCUGAACGUAUUACUUGGGACUAUAUAUAGUUUGAUGAAAUAACACUAAACUCUAUAGCUGAAUCAAAAUGCUCGACGUUGUUCGGAUAAAAAAAUAAAAUAAAAUAAAAUANCAAAAAAAAAAGAAAAAGAAGAAGAAGAGAGGGCUUGUAAAAAGAAGAAAUAAUAAUAAUAAAAAAUUUCACCUUUUUUCUGCUCGUAUAAACACACACAGCGAAAGGUGGGGGGCACUUUGUUCGAAUUUAAAAAAAAAAGAAUAAAAUUACAUUCAACUUUUCUUCCUUUCUUCAAAAAAAAAAAAAAAUCCCUCUUGUUUCCAAAAAAAAGGGAAAGAAAAAAAGAAUUACCAAAAAAAAAGGGAACGAAAAACAAAGGAAAGAAAAAAAAAGAAAAGAAUAAAAAAUAAAAAAAAAAGAAGAGAGAAAGGAAAAGAAGAGAGAAAAGAAAAGAAAGCAAAAAAUAAAAGAAGGAAAGAAAAAAAAAGUUUUUGUUAUUUCAAAAUAAAUAAAAAAAGGAAAGAUAUCUAAGAGUAGUAUUAAAUACUUAAAUUUCUUAUAAGAUGUAAGGAAUAAUAAAAUUUCCUUUGUAGAGAUUUAUUUUGAAUUUUUUCUAAAAAUAAUAACGAUUUUUGAAUCCCUGUAAAUUGGAUUCAAGAUGUAAGUAACAAAAAAAAUUUUGAGUUUUUGCAAGAAGGAAAAAAAGAGAGCUUGAGAAAAACAGUAAAAAAAAAGAGAGAGAAGAAGGACAAAAAGAAAGAAAGGUAAAAAAAAAAAA